CUGAGAGUCAGCAGGAUGCUCCACUCUUCAGCCCGUCAUCCUUCACACCUCUCUCCACUCUUCAUCACUUUCUUCCUCUUUCAACCCUCCAAUAUGCUUUUUAGUGGAAGUCAAACUAAACUUCAGCCAACAGCCAGCCAACAGGUGUGUACUGAUCUGUUUCUCUGCAGCAAACUUGUCGUCUCUGAGGAUUUGGAGUUCAUGCACCAACCAAAGAGUGUACACAGUUUCUACUUUUCUUUCUUGCACUAAAUUUCUGCGAACAGAGAAGGAUUAGAGGUGUGUUUUUGGAGGUAAUGGAGCGUCACCGUAUCCCUUCUCUAGGAGAUGAGGACUCUUGGAGCUUAACUUCAGCCUGUGGAGUAAUUUGUGUGCACUUUUUGACACUUUAUGGCAAACACUGUGGAUAUCUGAGGAUCGAUUUUCAGCAAAUUUUCAUCGCAGGGAAUGAGCUGAGAGAUUUUUUUUGUGAUUCCUGGAGCUCCAUUCAUGUUCUUCUCCUCCUUUUCUUGUGUGACAAAACCACAGCUGCACCUUGGACCAAACUUUCCGGAUGUGUCAGUCUGAGUGAUGUGGAUAUUAAUGAAAAUAUCGGAUUGACCUGACAUGAUGUAAGUUCAGCAUUUUUCAUAAUCGAUACUAAAUACAUCACUGGAUUUCUGCAGUUUCUGCUUUUCUGCAAAAAUUAAAUAAAUAAAUAAAUAAAGACACUAAAUCAUCAGCUGUGAGCCGCAUGAUGAAGAAAGAAGUUGGAAGUUUGUAAUAUGAACAAUUUUCAUGAUGCAAAAACCUUUAUUUCUAUAUGUAGAAAUAUAGGUUUUUAUACCAUCAUGGGAAACUAAAACUCCUCAUUCUAGCAGCUUUGACUUGUAUGUUUCCAGUCUUUUUAAAAAGCCAGAUUCAGCUCAUUGUAGCAGUUGAUUUUGUGAGUUGUUAGAGAGAUCGAAGGGAGAGUUUUCUAAAAUCAGUUUGGAGUAUGGAGUUCAGGUUUUUGGGUUUUAAUGAAAAUAAUAGAUGAUGAAUUCCUGUAGAAGUGAGUCCACAUCAGCCUGUGCAGACUGUCAGGCUUUAUUUUUGACCUCACCAACCUCUCUGAAGGCUUUUUAUGUUGCUGACAUUCAGUAAGUGAUCACUGAGUAUUUGCUGCUGUCAUAGAACAUAAAAUUGUGCAUAAGGAGAUGAUAUUGGUCACAUUUUACAGUUUAAAAGAGUGUGACUGAUAGUGGUUCAGUACCUGCUGUGUUGUAUGAAGACUUUUCUGCAAACAGAAAUGUGUGCAGACAUUUGGGUAUGUUUGGGUGCUUUUCAUUCCUGUGUCAUGUGAUGCUAUGUUUGUGUUAGAAGGCGUCUGAGAUACACAGCUGUGAUGGUGGAGAGGUUUUCUCUGCUGCCCUAUAUAGGGGUGGGCAGUUUUUGGUUUUGCUUUAAGAGGUGCUUUUGUUUUGUCUGAUGUAAAAAGUUUUGUUGUUGCCCGCCUUACCCCCACAUCUUCUGCACAGUUUUAAAUCGCUGUAAUAUCUCCAAACUGCUGAAGUUGAAUCGUGGUUCUUGUCAUUGGUGCUUUGAGCUGGUCAUCUCUGUGUUUUCUUAUUUUUCUUCUGUUUUAAAUGUCCUUUGGUCUGUUUAUCAUUGUCCUCUCAGUAUUAUUGGCUGUAUGUCUUCCUCCUCUUCUUUUAUAUGCCAGGUACUAACAUGUGUUUAAGGUGCAUUAGUGCCCCCUUUAUAGUGUAACUGCAGGUUUAUAUCUUUUGGCCUUUUAGUGAAGACUGGUUGUUAGUCUAUAAAGAAACUUUAAACCAUGAUAAUUACCUCCGCCAAGGAGGUUAUGUUUUCAGUAGCGUUGUUUUGUUGGUUUGUCUGUUAGCAACUUUGCGGAGAAAGAAACUGACGGAUUGACCUGAAAUUUUCACCAGAGGUGCGUCUCAGCCCCAGGAGGAUCCCAUUACAUUUUGGUGGUGAUCCAGACAAAAUUCUGGAUACUGUGAUCCAGAACACACAAAAAUAAGGGUGUCGUUGGAAUUUUCAAUGCUGAAUGAUAACCAACGGGCGGCACAGUGGUGUAGUGGUUAGCACUGUCGCCUCACAACCAGAAGGUCCUGGGUUUGAAUCCGGGUCAGGGCAUUUCUUGUUUUAGGAACAUUAUGAACAGUGAACAUACCAGUUUAAACACAAAUAAAAGUUAAUAAAAGACACGUAACAGUAAAAGUUUUGGUGUGAAUCACAAUAUAAGGGGGGACAUGAGCUGCUUGGCGGAGUGCUGCGCUCUCCGAGUGCUUUUCUAGUUAUCAUAGUAAUCGUUUUCACCCUCAGCUGGAGUCUCACCCUCGAGUAAUGUAACUUCUUGAAAAAAACGCCCCUUUGGUUUCUGAUGAUCAAACAUUCAGCGCUUGCUCUUUAAAAGAAAGUAGGAGCUGCAAUAACUUCACAAUGAAAUAAAAAUUUCAACUUUCAUCCUGUAAAGUUGUUAUUUGGACGUCAUAAAUUCAGAACUUUUAUCUUUAAAAAUGAAUGACCUCAUUCUCUAUAAAAAUAUAUUCAAUCUCAUACAUAAUAAAUGUAAGACUUUAAUCUCCUUAUUUUAUAGCUUUAACCUGAAAUAUAUAACUCUUAUCUUAUUAGAGCUGUCAUUAAUUAAUGACUUUAAUGUCAUAAAUGCAGAGCUUUCAUCUCCUAAUAUUCAACCUUUAGUCAUGUUAUUUCUUUUUCUUCAAAACUUCAAAACUUUAAUCCUGUAAAAAUUUGGACUCAAACCUUGUAAAUCAGUGACUUUAAUUUCUUAUAUUUAAAGACUUUUGCUCCUAAAUUUGUGAGUUUAAUGUCUUUGAUUUAGGACUUCAGCCUCAUAAAUUUAUACUGUAACCUCAUAAAUUUGAGUUUUAUCUGUAAAGUUGUGUUUAUACCUUAAAUUUAUGACACAAAUGUAUUAACUUAGUCUCACAAAUUUAGGACUUCAUCAUUUUAAUUUACAACAUUCAUCUGGUUAAUUUAGGACUCAAAUCUCAUGCUGAAGUGUCUGCUGAAACCAGCUGAUAAAGUUUGGAGGUGAGAGGGAGGUUUUCAAAUAUUGGUACCUGAUACCUGAGCAGAACUGGAGGAAAGGUGUUUCUUUUCUGUCUAUUGUUUUGGAUGGAGAAACUCUACAGCAAGGACUUUACUUCGUUAAUGAGGACAAUGAAUAUGAACAGGGUUGAAUGUUAGUGCUGAUAUGUGAGGGCUUUACUACUUUCUGAAACUGUGCUUGUUUACAAUAUUCAGCCUUUCACUGGGACAGAAAAGCAAAGAUCAUGACACUCAGGCUUUACCAGGUAACAUCAAACUGAUACUCUAUCUUAACCACAGAGGAUGCUGGGAAAUGCAGUUUUGAUCCUGGGAGGACAUGACUGAUUUCAUCCAAAGGGGUGAACAGAAUCAACACAGCAUUAAAAACUCCUCCAUGAUUAAAUUCAAUGAAAUGAAAUAGGAGUUUUAAGCUUUACAGUUUAACUUUGGCUAGUAGAGGCACUCGCAUCACAGCUGGGUUGUUUGCAGUGGUCAGCUGUACAUGUAACUGCUCUAAAAUGUUUCCAGAAUUUGUAAAAACUAGUUUUUAGUUCAUACGGUUUUGUCUGGCUUUACUAGAUUUAGUUUAGAUUUGUUGUUGAAGGAUAAACAACAUGAACGUUUAACUUAAUGAGAUACAUUUCUUUGACUCGUGGUAAUACAGAGAAGAAAUGACAGUAUAUUGGGAUCUUCAUUUCAGUUAAUAGGGAGUCAGGACAAAGUUUGAUGAUGGACGGUGUUCAGGUUCAUCUACUAAUAAUCUUUGUCUGCGAUUUGUUUGACAUUUAACAAAUGGAUUGGUUUGUUAUAAACGCCAGAGAUGUAGUUAUGUUUCUGCAUGUUUACGGAUAAUUAUAACCAUGGACUUUCAUAUUAAAUUAAAAAAGGAGAUAGUAGAGCAAUACCUGCCAUAGCUGCACACAUAGACACAAAGUGAAAUUAAAUUAUCAGUGUUUUUGAUAUUAAACAUUUAAUAGUUAGAUAUUUUAUAGUUCUAUUUAAUACAUCUAUUAAAUAUAAAGGGGUAAGUUGACCCACAUGAUUAUUUAAACUUAAACUUAAAACUUAAACAAAUAAUGUAUAUAUACGGAUGAAAAAUAAUUUUAUAAGACAUUUCCCUUUUUCAAGUAGUCAAUUAUUUUCUUUGGGUUACUAAACAAUAUAAAACCAAUUAAAGUUUGUUUUUCAGAACCUUUUAAUAUUUGCAAUUAUUAAUAUAAUAUUGAAAACUUCUCUUGAAUGAGUGUAUUUAUCAAAAAUGAAAGAUCAUUCUGCUAAUUUGAGUAGCAAAGACCUAAUAAAAAUUAUACCAAGCAGAACCAAGUUGUCCAUAGUAUAUACAGUCUAUGUGUGCACACUUUAUUCAUUAGAGGUAGUGACUGUAAAAAGGUUAAAAUAAUAAUACUAAUAAUAUUAGUAUGAAGACCACCUCAUUGGAAGAAAAGACUUACAUUUUAGUCAUAAAUUUGAUAAGAAAAACGUCAUUAUUUAAGGGUGAGUGUAAAUUCUGUGUGUUAUUUUAGGGCACAGAUCAGAAGAGCCGCCAUGCAUCAAAACUAAAAUAAGAGACAGAUUAUCCAAUGAAGUUAUAAGAGUCAUAAAAACUUCACACUCAGUCUGAAAGCGUGUGAAGACGUCUGAAUUAGUAGUGUCAUAAAUAAAGUUCAUCCUGAAGAGGGUCAUUCUGUUCCAUCUGUUUAUUUUCAGCUGCUGAGUUGAACUUCACAAGAUGAUCCAGAUGAUGAAGAUGAUGAGGAUGAUGUUAUUAACAUGUAGAACCAUCUCCAGUGAGUAGGACAUCUUUUACAUGAUAAACCUUCAUUCUCUUUACUUUUAUUUCCAAAAUUUGUUUCUUAAAUAUUGUAAAAUCAAUCCUAACCUUUAAAUCUGUAGUAACACAAGUUUCUUCACGCACCUUUACAACUUUAGUCUCAUGAAAUUUGACCUAAUAGCCAAAGAUUUACAGCUUUAUGACCAAAAUGUUAAAAUUAAUGACUUUCAUAUUAUAAAUGUAAAACUAUUAAAAUCACAUUUUUCUCAUUUCGUUUUGAUUUUACCGCUCUCUUAUAUUUGCCGACUUUGUUCCUGCAAAUUUGACUUUAAUCUCGUCUCUAUAUCUCAUAAACUAGACUUUUUCUCUUGAUAAGUAAUGAUUUAAAUUUAGUCCUGUUAAUUUGUAAUGUAAUUUACAACUCUAAUCAUUUAUAUUUAUGGUUUUAGCAUCAUAUUUGAUCUUGGUAUUUGAAUAGUUAUAAUUUACAACCUUAUUUUUGUUACUUUAUAACUUUAUAGCUAAACAGUUUAACAAAUUUAUACACAUAAAUUUACAAUUUUACUUUAGCUUAAAUUUAGGGACUUAUUCCACCUUUUCUCAUCAGAUUCUUCAAACGUGUCUGUAUGGAUUCAUGACAUCUUUGUUGGGUCAGACUCUCUCUCUGCAGACUUUCACUUCCUGUUAGGUAUCACUGAGAGAAACUCAUCACUCUAUUUGUCACUAGAAAGAAAAUUGAGUUGCACAAAGAGCAACAUUUUCCUUCAAACUCCAGAAGCAGUUUGCCAUGUAUGAGCGCAGCAUUUUUUGUUCAUGUUUCUUUUUCAAUACGACACCCUAAACUUCCCUCAUCGCUUAUUUGAAACUGUCAGAUUUGGUUGCAGUUUUUCCCCAGAUGUAAUCUCAGAAGACUUCAUUGAAAGAAAUUAUGUUUAAUGUAGUUUGCUGAUGUUUGAAGCCUCAGAAGUCCAGUUUUCAGGGAUCCGUGAGAAGUUUAAAUCACAAUAACCCAGCUACAUAUGAAGAUCAGAAAAAAACAGGUUUAAUAUAUCAACCUACAUCUACAUGUUUUUGUUAAAAACUGAAGAAAAGUAGGUGCUGCAAGUCCUGAUAAAACCACUAGAUGACAGCAGAGCCAAACUAGAAAAUCACUCGGAGAGCGCAGACCUCCGCCAAGCAGCUCAUGUCCCCCUUAUAUUGUGAUUCACAGCAAAACUUUUACUGUUACGUAUCUUUUAUUAACUUUUAUUUGUGUUUAAACUGGUAUGUUCACUGUUCAUAAUGUUCCUAAAACAACAAAGCUCAUAUUAGAUACAUAAAUGCAUGAUUUAUUAUGCAAUAUUUGUAAGCGUACACUUCCUUGUAUCUUCAUUGGUUAUCUUUCAGCAUUGAAAAUUCCAAUGACACCCUUAUUUUUGUGUGUUCUGGAUCACAGUAUCCGGAAUUUUGUCUGGAUCAGGAUCAACCUUUGACACCUCAUAAAACUCAUUGAGAUCCUUUUGUGUCAUUUUUUACUAAAGACUCUGGACAUUUUUAUAGAGUUAAUGCAAAAAUUCCAAAAUUUGCCCUAUCUCACAAUGAUAAAGAAUCCUUCAAAAAAUUCCUGGAUCCAGAAGGCGAUCCGGAUCACCACCAAAAUGUAAUGGGAUCCUCCUGGGGCUGAGACGCAUCUCUGGUGAAAAUUUCAGGUCAAUCCGUCUGUAACUUUCUCCGUAAAGUUGCUAACAAACAAACAAACCAACGCUACCGAAAACAUAACCUCCAUAACAGAAGACUUUUCUUCACUUCUGAGAGAACUUCCAUCGUGUAUUUGUCUAAUUCUUGUGAAAAUAUCUCUUGACUCUUACACAUCUUUGAAAGUGGCGGCUAAUUCAAAGUUUCUUGACAUAAAUUUUGACAUCUUAAGUCACAAAUCAGAUACGAUUUGAAUUUGAAUUGAUUGAUAGUCUGAAAAAGUGACUGAAGAUACAAAAUCCCAUGCCUAAGGGUGCAAGACCAUUUUUAGAGUUGCCAAAUAUCAUGAUCUUUACAGUUUUACAUCAUGGCUAUUUAAAUGGGAAGACUUCAGACUUUGUUUUCUGCUACAAAAAUAAGCACAAAGUUAAUUUCUGGGAUGUUUCUCAGUGAGAAGGUGCAUUUACCUAAGGUGAUCAUUCAGUACGGUGGCCCCAGAGGUCAGUUGCAUAAAUAUUUCAACCAAAAAAAUUUUGAUGAACCACAAAAUUAUUUCCCAUCUUUUUGCAGCAUGACAUAAUAAUACAGUUGACCUCCAUGGCCACUGUAGUUCACGCCUCUGUGGUCGACUCCAAACCUGCUGAAAAAGAAAACUGUAAAACUGUUUCAUAUUAUUGCAAAUUGAGAAAGUGAUUCACAGUAAAAGAAAAACAGCUAUGGUCUUCUUUUCUUUAUUGUCCACUAGAGAGCGCUCUACAUCCACUCUAAAACACAGGGCGGCCUCUGAAACCUUGAAAAGUUCAGUUGCUCCUGUUGGUGAACAAACUGAGUUCAUCACCUGCAGAUUGAUGUUUUCACACCCCCACUGAGCAUGUGCAGAACUAUCUGAAGCUUUUGUAUUUAUCUGUAUUUGUAUUGGCGUUUGUGCGACAGGCUUUAAACUUAGUUAAACGUGUUUGUGUGACAUAAGCUGGAGGAGUGAGUUUGAUAUUUUGGACGUUACAUGGUUAAUUGCUCCUGAUCCAAAUCUGGUUAGAAAGCUCUCAGAUUUUCUGUCUCCUUCAUCUGGAAAAAUCUGCAGUCUGGUGUCAGAUUGAAAAUCGCACAUCAACCUGAAUGACUUUAAAAUUUCGCUUUUAAAAUCUUUGAUUUAAUUCAGGCUUUGUGUGGGAUGUUUUUUCAAUCCUUGAAUGAGGUCAGUUUGAUUUUUAUAAAAACGUUGGACCUGGAAAAAUGAAGGUUAAAGAAAAAUAUGAGACAGAUUGAUGCACAGCACAUCUUUAUUUGGUCUGGAUUCAAUUUCUGACUUUAAUGCUCUUUUAAUUCUGUCAAAUACAAUUAAAAUUUCUUGUGAUUUUCGCUCUUUUUUACACGAUUCUGUUUUUAAGUUUCAAUAUGAGAUGUAAUCAGUUCAUUAAGCCUAUAUCCCUUUGAUUCUCCUCUUAUAAGCCCCCCCAACAAUCUUUUAAUGUGUUUAAAUAAUUUCACUCAUUUUAAUCUCACUGCCUCACAUCUUUUUUUUUCAUCACUUUUUAUUUCCAAUAAUGAUAUCUUAUUUUUCAAAACUCUUUUUUAUUGGCUUUUUUUCCUCUUUAUUUACUAUGAUUCAUGAUUUAACUCCAUUACUGCUAAAAUAAUCAUCUAUUUCAUGACUUUAUUUGCAUUUCUUUUCAUUGACUUCUGGUUUUGUUUGAACUUUCUCGUCUUUCCUCUGUCUCGCCUCACCUUUUUAAAUCAUGAGUCCCUGCCUUUAUUCCAUCAAUCAAAGCACUUAGUUAAUAUUUGUUUCUGGAGGUGCUAAAUGGAAAAAUGUAGAACUAUUUAUAAGCAAAGUAUUCAUAGCAUGAAGAUGCGUUGAGAUCAGUUGUAAUGUUAAUGUUCAGUUUUUAAUUUUUAAUGUGAUAUAGGAUCUUGGAAGUUUGCUGAAGACUUUGCCGGUUUUUUUUUCUCGCUACAAACAAGUCCAAUUUGAUUUUUAUUUCCUAAUACCUAAAAUUACACAUUAAUUUGGCUGAAUGUGGCUCGCAUGUUUUACAUCCUUUUGGACCUUCAGGGCCACCAUGUGCUGUAUAAAGAUAGGAACAGACUGUUACUUCGAAUGUGGAGCCUUGGAUUUGAAAAGCUUUAAAUAUCUCUGCUCUGACAAAUAUUCUCGGUUUAUUGACUCCAUACAAACCUGUUUGAGUUGCCUCUUAUCAGAGUGAUUUUGUCCAAGUAUUCUCUCGCUGAAAAAAAUCACAUAAUCUCAUUUAAUUUUUGGAUUACACACUCAAAUCCCAUCCUGAGUCUUCUGAAUUUGCUUUCUUUCUGUUUUGAGUCUUUCCAUUGUUGCACUUUGAGGAAAUUGCUGUAAAAAAAUGAGUCAUCUGCUGUUUAAAAAGAUUGAUAUCUGGUUUUUGUUAGAGUCAAGUGCACUGGGGGAAAUGUUGGGCUGAAUUGAUGUUGUUACCUGUUGAAUAUCAGCUGUAAUCUUCAGAGCAGAGACCUAACAGUGUGUGUGUUCUUCUGUAGAUGUUUGAAUACAGGAAAGAAACCUGUUGAGAGCCCAAACAAGCAGAUCUACUGUACGCUCAAAUCAAACACGGCAGUACAGAGAUGGUUUCAGAAAUAAAAGCUGCAGACAUAAGUGCGUGCGGUGUUCAGAAGCGCUUUCAGAGUGAGCACAGGACCGGUGGGAUAUGAGAGCCUUCCCAUGGACUGAAUUGCCUCAAAGUGCCAGGCUGCUAUCAAAGCGCAUUAAUGUGAUGGAUAUCCGGCGUUCUGCAUUCAUUCUCCAUGCAGUGAAUGUGGGAGCUGACAAACACAGCGCUGUAAGAGGGCCUGCAGCUCUGAGCAGCUCUCUACCUCUAAAGCAGAGACAAAUAUAGAUGCGGCUCAAGAGCGUUUUAUGUAAAACACAAACAGACGUUUUUCUUUUAACCCAAUUUCUGUGAUUUCCUCUGAGAGAGCAGCUCGGUGCUCUUCAGUCCAUGUGAUCGACAACAGGGGAGUGCUACUCGCCCUCAGGCAGGGAGGAAAGAGUUCAUUUAACUUUAUCUUAUUCAUUUAUUUUGUUGCUUUAUUUCCCGAUAAAAGAUGAUUUUUUCUUGCGAUCCCUGCUAGCUGAUUUUGCCAAAAAGAAAAAAAAAAAAGGAAAUUCUAAAAUCUACCUGGCACAUCUGGUGCAUCUUCAACUCUUUCUGUUCUGUAGGAGGUCUCAGAGUGUCUUUUACCGCCAAAUGAACAUCUGCAAAUUCAGUUAUUUAUACCAGAAAACGUUGGAUUGGAUCAGAUUAGUUAAGCUGCAAAAGAAACAUGUGGCUCAACUGUAAAAAGAAAUCCGACCACAAACCAAAACAAGUGCUUCGUAAAAUCGAACAAGACUGGACAACGCUCUUUAACAUGUACAACAAUUAAACAUCAUAGAUUUGAUUUAGAAAUAACCCGAAUUCAAAUGUUUCUUAAAAAACAAAGCAAAGUGGGGAAAUAUGAAGACCAAGUUGGAAUGAGGUGGAAGUUUUAGAAACAAAAAUAGGCAGAAAUGCAUUACAGUAGAAGAUAAGACAUGUUAGAGACACUUCCACUAACUGGAGAGGUUUGCAUGAGGUGAAAUGAAGCGGUAAUCGAUACUGGCGCAGAAAAAGAUGCAGGGUUAGAAAUCUGAAUGCAGCUCCGUGACAUUUUUAUCACUGAAGGUCCACAUAAUUCAACCCCGUUCCUCCAGUUAAUGAGAGAAAACCUGUAAAUUAGCAUGAACUUCAAACUCCUUUCUGCUUCUCACCCUUCUAGAAAACCACUUUCCAUGAAUUUUCCAGACUUUACCUGAAGCAUUCUCUCAUUGGUCAUGGUGUUUUUGUGCAGAAAAUCAUCUUCCAUGAAUUUUCCAGACUUUACCUGAAGCAUUCUUGCAUGGGUCAUGGUGGUUUUGUGCAGAAAACCACUUUCCAUGAAUUUUCCAGACUUUACCUGAAGCAUUCUUGCAUGGGUCAUGGUGGUUUUGUGCAGAAAACCACUUUUCCAUGAAUUUUUCAGACUUUACCUGAUACAUUCUCGCAUUGGUCAUGGUGCUUUUUGUGCAGAAAAUCACCUUCCAUGAAUUUUCCAGACUUUACCUGAAGAAUUCUCACAUUGGUCAUUGUGUUUUUGUGCAGAAAACCACUUUCCAUGAAUUUUCCAGACUUUACCUGAAGCAUUCUUGCAUUGGUCAUGGUGAUUUUGUGCAGAAAAUUACCAAAAAGCUGGCUGGAAAAAGUGCAGGUCCACAUUUAGUUUAUUUGUGCAGCUCAUUCCAAAAACUUUAAAGUGAGGAAACUCCCCAUCUUGUUUACGCUCUUCCAAACACACCUGAUACUGAAAAAAAUUAGCUGUCACAUUUGAUGCUUCAGUCGAUUUCAAUCUCUGUUUUCAGCUUUUUCCAAAAUCUAUAAACGCAGCUCUUAACAUGGACCGAGAGCUUGAUAAGUGAGGGGUUAAAGGAGGUCUGGGCUCUGCAGGGCUUGGGUUAACUGCAGUGUCAAAGUGCCUUUUUGUCGUCUGAGGGGGUGGAAGGCAGCUGUUCCAAAGGGAUGCUUCAAAUCAGUGUUUUUAGGGAGGAAAAGUUGUUUUUGUAACCGAAGCUUUUAAGGCUCCGUCACCCUGAAAAAACAGACAUGUGGUUGUAUAUGUUGCUGUUGUGCGAUCAAAAUGCAUUCUGGGACUUAAAGCAGGCGCUAACCACAACAGAAAAGCCUCUCCAGCCAUGUAUCAUAGCUGUCUCACAACAAGCCUCGCCUCAAAAUAAUUUCUUAAUCCAUUAAUUGGCGUGGAGCGGCGUGCGGGGCAGGGCUUUUUGUUCAGUAUGUUUUUCAGAGAUGCAUACUAAUCAUAUAAAGUGAUCCUUUGUACUCAGGUUGACAGCAGCGACGAGGGCUUUUAGACGACACACACACACACACACACACAUACAUAUACACUCACACACAUGCAUAGAGGCAUGUGUCUGGGAGCGCCGCUGGCAGAACGAGUGUAUUAUUUUCCCUGAAGAGUGUUAUUUUCCUGUCAAGGCUUGAUGGCAACGUGCCAACAGAUGUGACAGCGAGCGAUCAUCCCUCCUUCAUACAGUACAGGGAGAGAGAGGGAGAGAGAGAGGGGAGGGACAGAUGAGGACGGAGACACUCUCUUAGUAUCCAUCCCUGCUUUUUCAUGCAAAUCGAUCGUAUAUUGAAUCUAAAAAUAUGAUAAAAUGUUUUUGGUGAAAAUUUCAAAGUUUUUCCAAAAGUCUGAAGUUUGAUGAAACAAAUUCAGGCGUCAUGUAUAAAUCUAUUACUUCAUGCACAUUAAGAUCGAAUAGUCGUGGUAAUUUUAGCCAGUAAGAUGUUUUAAAUAGAAAACAUCAUGUUAUGCAGGCCUUCAUAUCAUAUUCCACCAACUUAUUAAUUGGACUGUCUCUCUGUCAAACUAUCCGAGUGAUCCGUCUCAGUGCAUUAGGUGUGUUGGUCUUUGCUUUGAUAUCAUAUUUGUCUACUAAGGUGUGCAGCAGGGCUCUGUAUUAGGUCCGCUUUUGUUUACUAUUUAUGCAAAUUAACUGGGACGAAAUGUAUUAGAUGUAAGAUAUCUUCUCUGAACUCUUGCAGGAUGUGUUUGAUAUUCAGAUUUAACUACUGAAAAACUGCAAACCGAAUACUGCAUUUACUCCUAUUUUAGUGACCCUUCACUGGCUCCCAAUCCGCUUCCACAUUGAUUUUAAAAUUCUUUUAAUCGGUUUUAAAGCCCUCCCUGGUCUUGCCUCUCCUUACCUGUCCGAGCUCCUGUAUCACCACUCUGGCCAGCUACUGUUGAGCUCAAGUCUAGAGGUCACAGGGCCUUUCCAGCGGUCGCCCCAAGACUGUGGAACAGUUAACCUGCUGCCAUAUUAAAGCCCCUCAGACCUUAGGGUCUUUUAAAGCAUCUUUAAAGACCCACAUUUUCUCCCCUGCUUUUAAUAAAUGAGCACACAGGAAUCAGAGACACUGUAGCGUUUAUUCUUUUACUGUCUGUAUUUUAUUCUAUUGUUUUUAAUUUUAUUACCUUCGCCGCCAAGGAGGUUAUGUUUUCGGUAGCGCUGGUUUGUUUGUUUGUUUGUCUGUGAGCAACUUUAUGGAGAAAGCAACAGACGGAUUGACCUGAAAUUUUCACCAGAGGUGCGUCUCAGCCCCAGGAGGAUCCCAUUACAUUUUGGUGGUGAUCCAGACAAAAUUCUGGAUACUGUGAUCCAGAACACACAAAAAUAAGGGUGUGGUUGGAAUUUUCAAUGCUGAAAGAUAACCAAUGGGCGGCACAGUGGUGUAGUGGUUAGCACUGUCACCUCACAGCAAGAAGGUCCUGGGUUUGAAUCCGGGUCAGGGCAUUUCUUGUUUUAGGAACAUUAUGAACAGUGAACAUACCAGUUUAAACACAAAUAAAAGUUAAUAAAAGACACGUAACAGUAAAAGUUUUGGUGUGAAUCACAAUAUAAGGGGGGACAUGAGCUGCUUGGUGGAGGUCUGCGCUCUCCGAGUGAUUUUCUAGUUUUUAUUGAUAUCUAUUUAUUUACUUCUUUUAUUUAUCCCAUGUACAGCACUUUGUUUGACUGCUGUCUUUUUAAGGUCCUUUAUAAAUAAAUUUUGACUUGACUUUACUGUUGUAAAUGCAGAGAAAACCUGGCUCAUGUUGUUUUCAAAGGCAUGUUAUAAAAUGUGCCUGUGGUCAUCACUGCUACUGGAGGAGAACUAGAGGUUGUAAACACUUAAAUAUACCUGGCAUUGUGAAAGAGGACUUAAAUGAGGUGCAAAUUGAAACAAGUUGUGUUCUCAUUGUUGCUCUGUUAUUUUUCAACGUACUGGAUUAUGGUGAUCUCUGGGAUACAGCUUACAAUGCAUCCCUAGUUACCGUUUCUUAUGUGCCACUCUUGGCAGAGUGAGUUAGGAUAUGCCAUGUUUCAUUGCUCAGGAAGUGAACCCCUGAAAAUGGUCUAGUGUCUUAUUGCAGGCAGUGGACGCUUUAUGCACAGGGGUCAGUUUGCUUCAUGCUUUACUGAAGUUUUCUUCUGCACGGGUCAUUGCAAAAGUAAGAACUCGCAGCUAUUAAGUUGCUGCAUGAGUCAUGUGCGGAAAAUUUUGCAUUGCUUUAUGUGGAGUAUUCAUAUCUAAAAAAAAUAUUGAUGUCCGAAAAAAACGCUCUCUGUGUGUAAGGACCUUAAAUCUGUAUUCCUCUCUGAGUGAUCCGAUCUCCUGAGCCAGCACACAGCGCUGCACAGAUCAGCGCUGCUAUUCAGAGCUACCUGAUAAAUAACAGCCUCUGCAGAUCAGAUGAUAGUGUGUGUGUAAUGGCACUGUUCUCUUUUGUAAAGUCUGAAAGUAAACUGAUUCUCUCUGUUAUCUCUCUCUCUUUACCUCCGUCUCUCCCUCUGUGCAUCUUCAUUUACUUCUCCUCUGACUGAAAAACAAAGAAAAAGCAAAACAAAGCAGCAGAAGACAAAAGGGAGAGAAAGAGGAGCGUGUCAUUACGGGUUUUGUUUCUACAACGGCACAAUACCCUGACCACCCUCAAACGAUGGAGAGAGAGAGAUCCUCUGCAUGCAGUCGAGUCGCAGAGAGAGAGAGAGGGAGAGAGAGCGAGAGAGAGAGAGAGAGAGAGAGAGAAAAGGGAAAGGCAGUUUAAUUUAGAUAAUUAUCUCACAAAUUAACCACAAACUCCUUCCCUCUUAAUUACCUGUCUUAGGGAGCGGUGCAGGAAAACAAAAAGCCGAGCCGUGGAGGUCUUUGUUCAGGUCUUCUUGGGGGGUGUAAAUUGGUGGCUCCCCUGCUGAAAGGCCAGAUAAACCUUGGAGGGGACGACCAUUAAAGCAUUUGAUAGGCUAAUGGGGAAUACUGUUAGCAUCCGCGUUUGUAAUUGGACGUCAUAAAUCUGGAACAGGUGAUGGGGGAACAAAAGAGGGGUUUUGUGUGGGUGUCGAGGCCACGGCAUGACUUGUAAAUCCUUUCCCGGUUGAAUGGUGCUAUCUGAUGGUCCACGGAUCUCCAGCAUUGAUUCCUGUGAGUGUGUGGAGCAUUUAUACGUCCUCAGAAACACAAGCAAAUGUUCGUAUGAUCGGGGCUAAUAAAAGGCGCCGGUCUUAUCUGGCUGUCUGCUGGAGUUGAUUCUGUCAGUAGCGAUUAACCUUUCCCUGACUGUGAUGGCUCACCUGAUCAGUUUCAACUCUUGAAACAACUGGAAACCAAAGAUACAGAAGCUUUAAGCUGUUUGACACAAGGUGACAUUUGCACUUACAUUGAUGUGCAAGAAAAUGUAAUGGGGUUGAAUCGUUGACUUGCUGUGACUCUCCUUUGUAACUGAAACAAUCCUGUGUUCAAAACUCAGAACUAAGUAUUUUCAGUUUUUUUCAUUUCUGUCCUGAUUUCGAGAUUGUGUCACUUUGACUACAAGUCGUAGCCUCAGCUUGCUUCUGGUCAUCAUUUUGGACAACAGCAGUACAAACUAUCAGGCAGGAGGAGAGAGGAAAGCAGGGAGAGGAGCAGGAGGAGGCAGGUGUGUGUAUGUGUGUGUCUGAAAAGUCAAGGGACAGAAUGAGCUCAGCGAGAGAGGGGCUGUUGUGACCGUGAGUUCAAAUCAGCUUCUGGUUUAAAAAUAAGGAGAUAUGAUUAGAUAUAGGGCCGGGCGAUAUGGGAAAAAGUUCAUCAAGUUAUAUUUUUUUCAUAUCAGUCAUUUCAUAUCAGUCAUUUCAUAUCGAUACAUAUCACGAUUUAAGUAAAAAUCACAUAUCAAUCUUAAAUUUUCCUUGUUACUCUUAAAUGAAAUUUCACAAUGUUUAUUGGUAGCUUGUCUUUUGCAAUACGAUAAGCUACUGCAUCUUUGAGGUCUUUGUGUCUCUUCGAUGUUUUGUCGUGAGACAUUGCGCUAGAGAAAGCGGACUGAAUGAUCAGCUGUUUUGGCUGCACAGGCGCCAUGGGGGUUUGUAACCUUUUGCAUUGUGCAUGCUCUGCCACACUGCUUCAGGUGGUGAAAAAGAUCUGAGGUUUUCCCCGACUUUGUGAGAACAUGUACUCGACAUAAUUUACAGUGCUCAUUACUCUGCAUCAUGUCCAACCUCAAAAAACCAAAGUACCUCCACACCACCGACGUUUUCAUGCCAGUGUUGUCGAUGAUGUCGUCAUCUCUUGAGCCUUCAUCUGCAUUUCUGUCGGGGGUAGCACUCAUUUCCUUGUUUCUCACUAACAGUGUUGUCGGCUUCACAUGCUAUAGUUGCGUAUAUCUGCAAUUUGCUACUACGCAGUUGUUUGCUACUUGGUUCAAAUUCAGCACAUGAUUGGUUCAGUGUGAAGCGGACCUGGAGCAACUCCCCUUUUCAUUGGCUAUUCGUAUAGUCUACCAAAGCAGAAUGCAGACAAUUGAAAAGGAUAUUGACCAUGUUUUAUAUCAAUAUUGAGGGAAAUUAAUUUUCAAUACUGUUAUCAUUUUAUUGCCCAGCCCUAAUUAGACAUAAAUUAUCAUUCAUAACUCUUAAAGCCCAAGUCUUGAAGCUUUGAAGGAGGUUCUAUCAAAAGACGCACCUCUGGUGAAAAUUUCAGGUCAAUCCAUCUGUAACUUUCUCCGUAAAGUUGUUCACAGACAAACAAACAAACAAACAAACAAACCAACGCUACCAAAAACAUAACCUCCUUGGCGGAGGUAAAAACAUACUUUAAGUGAAAUCUGACUGACAAACAUGGUAAACAAAAAAAGCUAGGCUAAACACAUUAUUAUGAUAUUGCCUGUUUCAUUCCUCUCUGUUUUCUAUAUAGAUAUAGAUAUAGUCUGUAUAAUUGUACAGAUAUCAAGUGUGUACUGUUGUUUGUUUAGUGCAGGCCUCAUGAUGGUUAAUUUUGUCCUGGAUUUUUUUCUUGGUCAGUGUGGAGAGUGAAGUUCGGUGAUGUUAAAGCACAAACAGCCCACAGAGUUUUCACUGAAAUCAUUUAACUUCAUGAUUUUUUACUCUCAUGUGGACACUGAAUCAAAACAAGCAAACUUAAACAUUUAAAGCUCAUAUGACAACACUGUUAGUGCAAAUCUGCAGCCCUUUUCUCCACACCAGGUGUGAGAGCAUAAGAGCGCACACACACACGCACACACACACACUGAGUCCUGAUACUUCACACACACCCUCGGAGCUGCACCAAUAUUUGUGUUUGGCUUCUGUCACGUAUUUGUCCGAGUCCUCGUCUCUGCUCUCCACAUCCAACCGCCAGCAGGUGUGAACAACUCUUCUGCUGAGAGGGACGCACUCUGCUGCUCUCUCCUGUCACGCACACACACACUGUGAGGGCGGGGGAGGAGGGGGGGAGGGCAGGGGAGAGAUCAAUAGUAGUGAGUGUGGAGUUUGGAUAAUUACAGUUGUUAGCAGGCAGAGGAGAGCAGCUAUAGUGGCCUCUCCACUCACACUCUCUUAUCACUCUCUGGCCUGUCAUUACAGCUUUAAAUGCUGCUCAGUGUGUGUGUGUGUGUGUGUGUGUGUGUGUGUGUGUGUGUGUGUGUGUGUGUGUGUGUGUGUGUGUGUGUGUGUGUGUGUGUGUGUGUGUGUGUGUGUGUGAGAGAGAGAUUUUCACUACUCUUCUCUCUACACUUCUCUCAUUUCUCCUCUGCUUGUUUCUUUUUUAUUUUUUUAGAUAAAGUAUUUCCUCUCCUUCCUCUUCAGUCUUCUCCUAAACUCUCUCCCCUCACUUCCAUGUCUUCUCUGUGUUCAUCUGUUUACAAAUAUUACAUCAAAAAUCAUUUUCUAGGUAUAAGUCUGAGAAGUGUUUUGACAUCGGUUUGUAGUAUAUUUGUAGUCUGAGGAGUUUUGACCAAUUAGGAUUCAGCAGGAUUUAGUAUUUUAAGGAAAAUCUUGAUCACAACAUCACAACAAAGUUUUUUUUUUAAAUUUAAUUCCGCUUGAGUGAUACCUUAGUAUAACUUAAUAUUUACAGGAAAACUGAGACUCCCAAAAAGAAAUAAAUGGAUAUAAAUCACAAAUCAAUCACAACAAAUCAGAUUCUUUAACAGAUAAAUGUCUCUGAAAUGAUUCAGAGGGAAGCCUCUUUAUGAUUUACUAAUUACAGUAAAACUGAGACCCCUUAAAUCAUUGGAGGGAUGGAUAAUAUUGAUUAGUAAUAGUGUAGAGCAAAGCCCAUGGAUUACUUUCUACUUAAAAUGAUGAUACUUUUUCCUCCGUGCACUGUGAAUGUUUACAUGUUGUGUUCAAUAAAAAAAUGAAAACAUAUAAUUUCUGUGCAGUAUUAGUUUAAGCAGAAUGUGUUUGUCUAUUGUUGUGACUUAGAUGAAGAUCAGAACACAUUUUUUGCCCAAUUAAUGCAGAAAGCAAAGUAGUCUUAAAGGGUUCACAUACUUUUUCUUGUAACUGUAUAACAUCCCUGCCUCAGAUUUGACCUUGUAGAAAGACAAGCUCUCAGAACAGAGUCAUACCACUAAAUCUAACUUGUCAUGUGCAAAUAAUAACCCACUGUGACUGAACUGACAACAUUUCUUUGUUACUUUUUAUCUCUCUAAACUUUUUUUCCAUCUCCUUUUAACACCUCUUACGUAUCUUUGUCUCUUCUUUCACCUUUCUCCUUUCUUUCACAGCUUCUUUUGUCCUUGUCUUUCUUUCCCUCUUUUUUUCUCAUCUUUUUUUAUUAUAUCCUCCAUUCUCUCCCUGUCCUCACCCUUUUUCUCUGUCUUCCCCUCCUUUAUGCCCUCUCUACCCUCCAGUAAUCUUUCUACAUCUCUUUUUCCUCUUGCCUCUCCUCUCCUCUCCUCUCAGUGAAUCACCUCCUUGUUGUUUGCUCGUCCUCCAAGAACCUCUCUCACCUCCGCCCUGUUGAAACUUAUUUCUUCUGUCCUCUUCUCUUUUAUUUCCUUUCAUACAGCAGAAUUUUCAAACUUUGCUUCAGUAAAUAAAAAGCUCUCUGCCAAGCUCAGACAGUCCUUGGCAGGUUUUAAAGGUGUACACUUGAGUAUGAACCUGCUUGAUCCCUCUGAGGAGGCUGAGGGUCUCUGUUCAAGUUUCCUGAGAAGAAAAAAGAAAAGAUCUUACAGGAGAGUUAGCUUUAUUGGUUUGUGGUAGAGCUUUUUGUCUAACUCAUCAACAGCUUCCUAGGUCUUGUGACACUUCCAAGUGUCAAAUCAUCGACAUACAUUCUUCGUGUACUUAAUUUUAAAGAGAACUGAGCAUAGAGCAUCAAAUUUGGUCGACCACUCUUUGUUUCACACUUUUAGAUUUCAUGAAUAUAAAGCUAUAUAAAAAGUAACACCUACAAGUAGGGCUGGCCAAUAUCGAUAUAAAACAUGGUCAAUAUACUUUUUGAUAGUCGGCAUACUGCCAUGUUUUGGUAGACUAUAUGAAUAGCCAAUGAAAAGGGGAGUUGCUCCGGGUCCACGCCGUGCUGAACCAAUCAUGUGCUGAAUUAGAACCAAGUAGCAAACAACUGCGUAGUAGCAGGCAGCAGCUACACGCAACCACAGCAAUUCUUUUAUUUCAUUUUUUUUUACUAUUAUUAUUAUUUUUUUUAUCUAACAACAAAAUAGAGUGACAACAAAAACAACAACAAAAAAUUUAAAAAAAUACUUUUGUGAGGGAGGGGAGGGGAAAGGAAUAUAUGUAUAAUAGAAAAUAAAAAGAUUAAAUUAAAUUAAAAAUUAAAAAAAAGAUCUUAAUUGGAUUGCAUUGAAAUAUAUAUAAUAAUAAUAACUAUAUAUAUAUAUAUAUAUAUACAUACACACAUUAUUAUGUGUUAUUAUUGUUGUCGUCAUCAUUGUCAUUUGUUUAUUGUUAUUAUUAUUAUUGCAGGUAUUACUAUUGUUGUUAUUAUUGAUGCUUUUGCCGUUGUUGUAUCGUCGCUGUUGUGCCGGUGAUUCGGGGGGAUUGUGUGCGUGUGUGUGUGUGUGUGUGUGUGUGUGGGGGUAUGUGUAUAUAUAUAUAUAUAUAUAUGCAACCAUAGCACUUUAACAGGUGAAGCCGACAGCACUGUAGGUGAGAAAAAAAGAAAAUGAGUGCUACCCCCAGCAGAAAUGCAGAUGAAGGCUCAACAGAUGAUGAUAUCAAAGACAAAACUGGCAGGAAAAGGUCGGUGGUGUGGAGGUAUUUUGGUUUUUUGAGGUCGGAAAUGAAGCAGAGUAAUGUGCACUGCAAAUUAUGUCGAGUACAUGUUCUCACAAAGUCGGGGAAUACCUCAAAUCUUUUUCAUCACAUCAAGCAGCGCCACGCGGCAGAGCACGAACAGCGUUGUUUUCGUCAACGUCAUCGUCAACGAAAAAAACACUGCAGAAUAUAUGUUUGGUGUUUGACUGACGAAAUGCUCAUGAAUUUAGCAACUCUGUUCGUCGUCCACCACUAACAUUUUCAUCUAGUCUCGUCUCAUCAACGUAAACACACAUUCUUCUUGUCACAUUUUAGUCAUCUAAGACUUAUGUUUAGCUCGUCAACGUCACGUCGUUGAAGAGACACAAAGACCUCACAGAUGCAGUAGAUUAUUGUAUUGCAAAAGACAUGAUACCAAUAAGCACUGUUAAAUUUCAUUUAAGAGUAACAGGGAACUUUUAAGAUUGAUGUGUGAUUUUUUUAUAUCGUGAUAUGUAUCGAUAUGAAAAAAUAUAUUGUGAUAAUUUUUUUUCCAUAUUGCCCAGCCCUACCCACAAGCUGUGCCUACAUUUAUAUAUCAGUCAGUCAGAGUAGGACACCAAUAUGAGAUAGAUAAGAAGUUUUUGGAGCUGCUCAUCAUGCUAAGCUACUCUGCAAGAGUCCCAGAAUGAAAGAUGAAAAAAGGAAUAACGGGUCUUCUUCAAGUGUUGUUAUUUCUCGGUGAAGUUUGGAAGAAGUAAGAGUUCAAUGACAGGUUUUAAAAAAUACAGUAGAUGUCAGAUAAAGCUGUCGGAUCACGGUCGAGGAUUCUGAUGUGGAGACGAUAUUGUUACGUACGGGGAUUUGAAGUUUGUUUGAGAAUCAUGCCACAUGAGGGGAAAGACAUUUGUGGGGGAAGGUUGAAUGAAAGUGAACUCAUUUGUUGCUGUUUAGCUAAUUUGCUGUUUUGUCUCUCUCCUAGUUUAAUUUAAAUUGAAGAUUGUUCAGUUUGGUUGACUGUGACCCCACAUUUCUGCCUUUUUUCCUGAUCAUGGGUCCUUGUUAUGCUAUUUUAGUUUUUUUCUUGAACUCCUAUUUUUUGUAUCUCUUCCUCAGUUAGUCUUUCUCUUUCAUCUCUCUCCUUUCUCAUCUCUCUUCCAUCAUCAAUAAUCUCGUCUUCGUCGUCUUAUUUUGCUGUCUCUCCUCUCCUCACAUCCUCUCAUCUCCACUCAUACACUAAUUUCUCUUUAUCUCCUAUCUCCUUUUCUGCCUCUCCUCUCCAUUCUUUGUUUCCUCCUUCCCUCCUUUUUUUUGACACCGGCAUCUCUGCCAAGAAGAGGAUUUUACUCCGUCAGAUCCACGCUCUAAUUUCUCUCUGAGAGGUUUUCACUGUCCAGCCAGACGGGAUUUUCUUAGUUGUUGAGUCUUAACAUGCAACACUGAAAUAGGCCUGGAGAAACUGGAGUUAAAUCCCCUUCAGAUCACUGCACACUCGCACAAACACACACAGACACACAGUUAGUGUUUUGUUGAUUUGCACUGAUGUAGAGGAUUCUUGUCAGACAUAAGAAGGAGAUGAGAAUGAUGGAGAGAAGGAUUAGAUGAGCGAAAAACAACAGCGGUUUGUCCCCUGCGGGCUGUUUGCUCUGAUUUAGAUGGCGCAGGAUUAGCUGAGGAUGAGGAGAUCAGGGUGCCGUGUGACUCAGUGUGUGUUUGUGUGUGUGUGUGAGGAGAAGUGGGCUGCUGAUACGUCGACGCUCGAGGCGAAGCUGUCAGAUAUUCGACCAAUUUUCUUGUUGCGAUCCGUAGGUGGUGCAACAUAUACCAUGAAGGUUGCACAAACACUCUUACACACUCUUACACACACACCAUAUCCAGCGCCUCGAAACACAAGUGAAGUUUUAAAAAUUUAACUCCACUGAAAUUUUAAGUUCUUGUCUUCCUUUCACUACGAAAAACUCAAAUCUUAGUCUGUGGUUUUGUCUUAUUUCGAACAAAAAGUGUCUGUUUGGCUUAAUUUGAGCCACAUUCACCUGACGAGUCCCUGACAAGUCCAUAAAAUGAUACGUAAUAAGGUAACCUUUAAAGAAAUUGUUGUAAAGUCUAUUAACUGCUGUUUAAAUUAGGUCUAUCACUGUAGGGCUCUUUACUGUAAUGUUUUCAGGGACUCAAAAUUAUAAUCAGAGCUGGAAAAGCCUUAUGUGACUGCACUUUGAAGCAACCCCCAAACUUUUUGAACUUGUUCAACAUUUAGACACAAAAAUGUAAAAACUUGAUGGUAGUAAACCUGCAGAUGAUGUGAAAACCAUGUGAAUCUGGUCUUAUGAAACAGACUGUCAGCUGUCUCUCAAACCUUGUGUGUGUGUGUGUGUGUGUGUGUGUGUGUGUGUGUGUGUGUGUGUGUGUGUGUGUGUGUGUGUGUGUGUGUGUGAGAGGAGUAUCACAAUGAGACAGGAAAUCACUGCAAGGAUAAAAUUCUCUCCCUCUCUCCUCUCAUAGAAAAACACUCACAAAUAACCGGCUAAUCUCUGCCUCUGCCCGCGUGCCAUUCAAGGCUCCCUCCAAUUAAAAAGCAUGGGGGACUCGAACCCGCCAUCUUAUUUAUCAUAUUAAUUAGAAAGUCCCCCCGACAACAAAGAGAGGCGUACAGCUGUGUGGCAGCGGAGAGGCCUGGGAAAUGAAGGCUGGUUUGAUUUGUUGUCUUGCUAAUGUGACACCUAUUAUACAGGUUAGGCCUCAGAUACAGCAGCAGAUGGUGAUUCAGAGUCUGUGCUAAAUACAGCAGCUUCAAAGAGCUGCUCUGAGGAGGGGUUGUAUUUAGUAUAUUACAAAUUAAUGUAUUUCAUAUCAGUAACUCAUCGGUCAUGAAGCCUUGGUCCCCAUCAAUCAUCACCCUCCCUCUGAAUGAUGCUGUUCUUCAGGUCUGACGCUGUAACUGCAAAAAUGAAUAACCAUGAAAAGCCAACUGUGGAGCGUGGUAGGCUGCUGUUAUAACCUCAUCUUAUUCCACAUUAUGUUGGGACAGAAACAUAGCGACUACUCUGGUGCUUUACUUUUAUGGGAACAUUUCAGCCUUCCUCAGGUGAACUGCCUCAGCUUUAAAAACCUCGAGUGAUUGGGGGUUCAGACUUGUUGUUAUCUUUGUAAUAUUUGUGCACUUUGUUCUCCGACACGUAAACAGCCGGUCAGCCAUGUUGGAUAUACCGGUGAAUCUGACGUCGCAACAACAUGAAAAAUGUUUGGUCAGAAGUGGACACACAGUAUGCGAAACUUCAGAAAAUUCAACCGUGAUCUGAAAAAAUAAAAGGCCGCAAUAUCGCAGGACGGGAAAACGUCGCUGAUGUAAACGCUUGUAUUGACAGGAUACAGGUUUGAAAAAAAUAUUGACGUCCGAAAUAAUCGCACGAAAAAAACUCCUUUUUUCCUCUAGUAGAAGAUGUCUCAGGAUCAUGAGGACAUUAAUGUUCAAGUUUUACAUUUUUUCAUUCCUAUUACAGGGAGAUGUUUGUGUGUGCAACACUUUAUUUUUGCUAGUUACACCAGUUUAACAUUGACAGGAGUCUCAGGACAUCAUCUGUCUGAUGUCAUGUCCUGAGGCCCCUCCCAUCUGAGUGAGAUUUGUGAACACGCAAAUCUAUGAAGUUGUAGAAGAAGAGCUCCUGAAAAUCUUAAGAUAUCUUCACAAGAGCAUGCGAGAAAAAGCCUGAAUUCUGAAGCUGGUGGUCUGACUGUAAAGAUGACUCAUACAUUUAAAAAAUCUUAGCAUGACGUCCCUCACUGCUAACUGUGUAAAACAAAUAGUUUUUCAGUUCAGAAACCUCUCUGAUGUGUUGAGUUUGCUAAAGAUGCUAAAAGAGAGAAAGAGAGAGAGGGAGAAAGAGAGAGACGGAGGAGGUGAAGAGCUUUAAGAGUGAUAGAGAGAGAGAGCGGUGGGGUGUGGAAGUGGGGGUGACGUGCUCUGUAAUCAUGGGUCUAUUAGUCUGCUCUCUUUAUGACUGAUGGAGCUGGAGCGCUGCCUUAUGGAAGAUAGUCGCUCAGCAUAUUUAACAGCUGACAGGUGUGUGUUUGUGUGUGUGUGUGGGCAUGUAUGCUUGUGUGUGUGUUGUUUAUGGAUCUCAGUAUUAUGAGCUUUGUUUCUGUGUGUGCUGAAAAGUAGAGUAUGGUCUAGUUUGAUUUGACAGACUUACUUCAGUCCAGUUCAUUAGAACCUCUGAUCACUUCUUACCUUUUGUAAUAUCUGUCAUUAGCUGUCAUUGCCUCUUUAAAUGAAGCUGUCAUGUAUUUUAUUACUGAUAAGUGCCUGUGAAGUGAGUUUUUUGGUAUUAAUAAGACAGAUUAAAAUUAAUGUCUUUGUCUUUUUAUGAUAAACAAAAGCAAGCAAGAACACAGCUGACAAGAGUGGUGAUUGUGAAUAAUAGACCUUUUUCACAGUACGCGGAAGUUAGCGUUCUGCUCACUUCCGGUAUUAGCGUGUGGUGGAGCCACUUAGCAUCGCCCAUAGACGGCCAUUCAUUUUUCACGAUAUUAACAAGCUCACGACUCGUUUUUUUGAAUGUAAAAUUUUAUGCUUUGUGCUGUUUAACUAACUCGUGUUCUUCAUAAUACUGUCCGGAUUUUGUAAUUUACUUUUCGGGAAUUAUGAUUAAUAGGUCUGGAAAUUUUCUGAUGAUGGUAACCAUUGCUCUUCAGUAAUGACCUAUUAUUCCCGAAAAGUAAAGUACAAAAUCCGGACAGUAUUAUGAAGAACAGGAGUUAGUAAAACAGCACUAAGCAUAAAAUUUUACUUUACCUUUCACAAAAACGAGUCGCGAGCUUGUUAAUAUCGUGAAAAAUGAAUGGCCGUCUACGGGCGAUGCUAAGCGGCUCCGCCACACGCUAACACCGGAAGUGAGCAGAAUGCUUACUUCCGCGUACUGUGAUAAAGGUCUAUUGUUUGGAUGUUUAAAUAGAUCUCACUUGGAUGGUUGACAUUGGACUGAGGUACAAGGACUGUUUCAGGAUUUAAAAUGUUGUUGCUUUUGUCAGCUAUUAAUAGAUGGAAGAUGCACAGAGAUUCAUAACCCAUAGAUAACUGGCUGAGUAAAAAAGUAACUUGAAAUUUUCUAAAUGACAUGCUUAAACCUUUGGCUUGCAGUGGUGCUGAGGACUAUUGCUCAGUAAUGACAGACUCCUGUGUCAAAUAGUCUGAAAUUGGUCUUACUUGUUAAAGGGACUCUUUGCCAAAUUCAUUUGCCUUUUACGCUGUCAGUUUCUUUUAAACCAAGAAUAAGAGUGUCCUUUGAGCUUGGCCUCUCAUAAGUGAGCAGAAAAAACUGAAGGAUAUGCAGAGCGACACUGUCCAUGGUGCUGAAAGUGAAGCUGCUGCUUUCAGCUGUCCAUGGUGCUGAAACAGAUGAGUACACUGUGUAGAUCUCCAUUUAUCACAGAACCUGUGGCUAUAUUCAAAGUGAAACCGAAUCUUAUCUACGCAUUUUAUUUCUGAAAAUAUCGCAAAAAUCGGUGCGUUUUGGUCGAUUACCAAUGAGCCUCAAAUGCGCAAAAACUGUCUGAUUUAAUCGGCUAGCUGAUAAAUCGGUUGGGCCCUUAUGUUCACAAAGCUUUUUAAUGCAGCUCUAGUUUCUUAUAGGGGAAGAAAUUAGAGAUGCAACAAUUCAUUUGUUUGCUUUAUCUGGCCAAAGAAACACUUAAGAGUUUUUUUCCUAGUUCAGACCACAUCAUUGCAAAGAUAUCUUGCAGGGAAAACACAAGAGACGUAAACACCGCAGUUUAUUAAUAAAUGCUUUUAGACUUCUACUUUUCAGUUUUAUCUGAAGGCAUGUGUGUCAGUGUCAGCAGUGAGCAGGAAGAGGAGGCAGGAAAACAGAGAUAAACAGAGAGGACGAAAGUGAUGAAAGAUGAAGAGAAGGACACUGAGGAGUGAAACAGAUGAUGAUAAAUGAGUGGAGGAGAUCUCAGCGUUAAAACAAGCCUCUCACUCUGUCUCCUCAUAAAGUGUUUGUCUCUCCAGCCAAAAGCUGUUUAGAUUUGAUGGACACUGUGAAGAGUGUGUGUGUGUGUGUGUGUGUGUGUGUGUGUGUGUGUGUGUGUGUGUGUGAGAGAGAGAGUGUGUGUGUCAGUCCAGCCAUCUGGUAACCAGGGCAUUGUUUACUCUGUCACUGCUCAAUAUUUACCCAUCCAUCUCUCGUCCCACUGCAAACCACAAGUGUGUGUGUUCACAGUGAACUCAGGGUGUGUUUUUUUGUGGGUUAAACACUAUUUAAAUAAAGCUGUUCAUGUUUAAACAAAUUUCAUUCUAACUUGUAGAUUAACUUUUCCAUAUUUUUUUGUAUUUUCCUAUAUUGGUAAUAAGCUUUUGGACCGACAGCCUAAUUACUGUUUGAGUUCAGGUAAAGUUAUGAACAGGCGGAUGAAAAUGUAAUCAGUUUGGUCUCUUGUGUAGAAUUCCUGACAUCCACAUAUUGAUGUAAAUUUAAAAAUUUUAAAAACUCAGGCACCAAAUUCACUUGAUGAUGUGACACAAAACCAAUCAGUGUGAGAUUUUCUGACUUUAUGAAUCUUCAAACUUCUUCCAAAAAGCUUUUUUUAACUGUAUGCAAACAUAAUUACAGGCUAACAUGCAAAAGCAGUUUUUUUAUUUGCAUUCCUGACAAUUUCCAAAAUUGUUUCAGACUUUUCAGCCCUUAAUUUGAAUUCGUCUUAGUUUGUGCAUCCAUCAGCAAUUAAUACUGUUUUUCUUGGCCCUCUGUCCCCUCAGAUUGUAUCUUAAAGGUGGGGUAGGCAGGAUCUGAGGAAGUGCCAGUCCCUCUCUGCUCCAACAAGCCCCGCCCACAAACAGAAGCUCGCGCUCGUCCGUAUUGUUCCAAUUAAAUUCAAAUAUAUUGCAGAUAAAUACUUCAGAUAAUUACAAAUGGGGCCCAGUCAAGGUGAAAGUCAAAAGCAUUGGUGCUACUGUAGAUGCCAACAGACUACCAGCAAACACAAUGUUUGCAGGACUUCUAUAACGAGGAUAAAGUGACAUAGUCCAGGACCCGAGGUCAACAGUUUAGCGAUGGCGCUACAACACGCUACAGCAGGUCGGUUUGACAAGAAACACUUCUGUUACAGACACUUGUCUUACUUUGUUAAAGCGGUUUACCUGUCCAGCAGAAAGGUUACAGGGUCACCAAGAUCCCCAAGCGUCCCCCAUCAUUGUUGACCCGGCUUUUUAGCUCUUGUCCGGUCUACCUCCGUUUUAAUCGCCUUAUUCCUCCAGAGUCUCCGGUAUUUACUUUGUAUUCUUGCUUGUGUCGGCAGUCGUGGCCAAAGGAGGAUUCAGACCAUUUUCCGAACUUUCUGGUUGGUUUCUACUGUCCGAUAUUGUCGCACGCUAACUUUGUUUGGGCUCCUGAACGACACGGGGGGCAGCGUCUGCCUCACAACCAACCAAACCAAAUUUUAUAAUGUUGACUACACAGACACAACAAAACACAGCGAUAUCGUAAUAUUACCAAAUGUCAUCAAUAACAAAUAGCUAUUGACUGAUAUCAAAAGCUUUUUUGUAUAAACACCACAAAAAAAGAUGCUUCUUUAACCCCACCUUUAAUCCAGCGUAGUGUCACUCAAAGAUCAUUCAAACUUUCCUUCAUAGCUUCUUUUAUACAAUAACUCAGGGCCAUGAAUUAGAGCCUGAACCAUUACUGACAUUCGACACCCUUCACAUAUCAGAUGUGUUGUGGAAAAAACUAUCAUGGUGAAGUGGAAUGACCCAUCUCAAGCAAACCUAGAAGAGGUGACAGGCAUUUCUGGUGUACUCUAUCUGUAAUUCUUUGUUUGGCCGCUGCAGAAAAGGAUGCAUGAUGGCUCUGCUUUCUACUUCCACAAACAUGUCAACAUGGAGAUUCUUACUCUUGAGAUGCUUUCACUGUGCUGCAGCAGACUAAAUGCUCAGCUUUGUCAAACAGAGAGCAGAGCACUUAUCAGAGGCGGAGAUAUCUCUGCAGCCACAGAUCGCCAUCUCUGUUUCACUCUCCCUCCAUCUACGUCUACUUUCUCGCUCUCUCAUCUCAACCUGUUGUUGUUCUUCUCUAUGUCCUCUCCCUCCAUCCCCCUCGUCUCUGAUCUUCUGCUGCCGUCUAAGCUUCAAAGGUGGUGAAGAGGUUUGCCAUCUCAUCUUCCUCGCCACAGAACCCUUCAUCUUCUUCAAACAGCAGAGUGCAAAGGCUAACGGAGGGUUUCAGACAUCCUCUAUUCUGUUGCUCUGUGUCUCUCUGCAGAGACACUUUGACAGAAAUGCUCUCUGGGUGAAGACAGGGCUGAUCUUCAAAUUGACCUCAGACCCUCUCACUCUGAUCCAGUUUAUAUUUUAUAAUUCACGUUGUUUCUGCUAGUUUGGUUUCAGCGAUAGUUUCCUGAAAAUGACAGUCUGCCACCUGGUACCACAGUAUUAGAGCAUGGUGGACAACUGUUUUACCGUGGUCGUGACGUCCUGUGAGAACUUUUCUGCUCACAGCCAAAUUGAAGAAAAUAAAAAGAAGAAAACCAUCUGAGGGUAGAUGUAAAUUUGGCACCGAAUAGAUCCCAGUGAAACACAACAAUUUAAAGGGAAGUUACUGUUAAGUUAUCAAGUUGGAGGAACUCACAUUGGUUUUAAAAAAUUCCAGUUCCAAAAAAAAGUGAACGUUUAUACUAGGGCCAGACCAAUAUGGAUUUUUUUGGGGGCCGAUACCGAUUAUUAGGGGGGAAAAAAUCAGAUUACCAAUUAAUCGGCCGAUUUUUUCAAUUUAAAAGUUAUAGUAUAUAUAUAUAUAUAUAUAUAUUGUAGAUAUCAACAGUAUACUUUAUACCGUAGAUGUACUGUAGGCUACUGCUCUUCACGCCGACAGGAAGACCGACUGAUCAAACUGAUCAAAUAGCUCAGUCACUAAUGUGUACUGUUGUUUAUUCUACCGUCACUGGCACGGCUAACAGUGUAGCAAGGCUAAUAGCAGGUGGCUAACUCUAACUUUAGCUUGCAUAUUACAUGGUGAUUCACCGUUAACUCGGCGUGACCGAGACCAGCACAGCGGGGAACAUGGUGAAGUGGUUUGAACUGAAACUUGUUGACUUAUUGUGUAUUUCACAAACUGGUUUAUUUACCGUUGAGGCGGACCACUCUCCUCCGUGCGUCCCUGAGCUGCCUGCUUCAGAUCCGUCACUCUGCUGUGCUGUGAGGUAGUUAGUGGAUGAAGAUUGUCAUGAGGUCGCUGCGCCAUCUACAGGAUAAGUGGGGGAACUUUUCAAAUGGCAGAACAUUUUCAAAGUGAAACCGAAUCUCAUUCUCCGCAUUUCAUUUCUGAAAAUAUUGGUGAAAAUCGUCAAGUUUUGGCCGAUUACCUCAAACGGGCUUAAAUUGGCCGAUUUAAUCUGUUGACGCACCUCCCUUCCUACUGGCUCACUCAAUAAAAAUGCAGUAAAAGAUGAAGUUCAAAUAUUGGGUCCAUAAAAUUUUUUUAAUUAAACCAAUAAAGGCUGUAAAAUGUCUUACAGAUCUUAAAAAGGAGAAUUAAAAUAAAAGCAGUAGCUCAUCAGUGAAAAGUCAAGUUCUUUCUUAAAUCUGUAACUCACACCUAACUGUUUUAUUCGGGAAAUAUAAUGUCAGACUUGAAUUUUAAUUACAAGGAUGAGCGAUAUAAAAGACCCAGUCCGUUUAACCUUAUUAAUACAUUUAUCUAUGUAUUUGUGUAGGAUUAAACGGGAUUAUACAACAUGUUUUCAUGCUAAACCUCUUGGGUGUGAUGCACCAGAGGGCCACAUGCUAAACACACACUCUCACACACACACAUUCCUCAUCUCAGUGCGAGCAGACUGACUGAGUAGUCUCACUAAAGGCUUUUUAAUAGACUGCUUUGUGUGGGAGGGGGGACUCUGGGUGACGGGUCGAGGUCUCGGGGGAGACUUAGAUUGGGGGUGGGGGGAUAAACGGCUCAUUGAAAACCCAACAAAGCAGAGAAUCUAUGUUAGCUUCACUGCUGAAACUACAAUAAUUAUUCAAAACAACAACAACAAAAUCAUGAUGAGAUGAAAAAGACUCCAGUCUGCCUGCUCCAUGGCUUAAGACUUGGAGGUGCACAGUACAACUUUAAAUUUGAACUGGCUAACUUCUACUACUUUGCUUUCCAAAAGAGCAACCUGUUGUUAAAAAUGAUGCCAAUGUGUAGUUUUAAAAGACUGCAGUUCCUAGAGUGUCCACUAGAGACCUGAAGAAAAGUAAUACUGUGUCUACAGAGCCCAAGGCUGCACGAGUUAGGCUCUCACUUCUCUCCUUUCUUGGGGUGGAGAGAUGGAAGAAGUGAGAGGAGAAGGAGGAGACAGGGUUGUGUUUUGGUAUGAAUUUAAUAUGUAAACGAUCAGCCGGUCAGCCAUGUUGAAUAUACCGGUGAAUCUGACGUCGCAGGUGGACACACAGUAUGCAAAACUUUUUUAGGGUUCAAAAAAAAAUAUUGACGUCCGAAAUAACCGCACGAAAAAAAAGCUUCCGGUAGGUAAGGACCUUAAGUUUUGGUGUUUUAAAGGGCCGUUUAUUAAAGCUUGUUUAAUUAUUGGAUUUCUAUUUGAUGCGUAUUUUAAUUUUUUGUUUUGUUUUGUUUUUAUGGAGAGAUAUGGCAGGAAAUCAAAAGCUGGUUGUAGCAUGAGAAAUAGCUGUUGCUGAUGAGUUAUAUUAGGAAACAGGGCAUGUAAACUGAGCUUUUCAUUUGGGUUCGAGGUUUUAGUACCCUACAUAUCUAUUUCCAGAUGUCCUGUUGUCCAAUGCUGUGUCCAGAGCAGAUGUCAUUUACAUAAAUAUGAUAUAAACACCUCUUUAGCGGUGAAUUUGAGAGCAGUUUUGAGGAUUUUCUUUUUCUAAAUUACAAACUGAGGUUGUAACUUUUUGUCAGCCUAAUGACUUGUCAAAAUGUUCCAUCCUGAUUAGACAUAGGUGUGAAAAUAAACAGGAACAUGCAGCCACUUUCUAAAACUGGAAUAGUUGGGGGAGAUUCGACUGGUCCAGAAGCUCCAGUUUCAGGUCAUCAGAAGGUGACAUGUUUGACUGCAUCAUCUCGGGGAAGGCGAGAUGUUUGGCUCUGGCGCGUGUUUCCCGUCCCCUCUCUGCUGCAGAGAGUGUGAAUGAAGACGUUUAUUACAGCGGAGACACAGAGGAUUAGCACAGGGCUUAAACCAUUCUCAUGGUAAUGCGUGGAGCUGGGAGCGCGCAGAUAAACACAAACACUCACCUUAUCGAAACACCCAGACCUGAAAGACUACUCCUUAACAGCAACCACAGACCGGCUGAGAGACGCCGCAGACAACAGGAAGCAGACUCAGAGUGAGGAAGAUGUCAGUUUGUGGAGGCAGAUUACGGCCUCUUUCAAAAAUAAUGUCUGGACAAUAAAAUCAUUUAAGGUACAUCCAUCACACUCAGAGGAAGGUGGGAGGCCAUUGUCAAAGCUUAGGCUAAAAAACAACAACACAUGGACCUCAGUUCAGGGCUGCAGGACUGGACAUUUAGAGUGAUAUGUGGUUUAAGUUUUUAGGUAAGGUCCCCAUGCAAGAAUAAUGAAGCGUUAGGAUCUUCUUCACAAGUUAAACCUGAAACACCAGGAGACCUUUUUGUUGCCUUUUUUAUAUGAAAACUUGGGACAGUCUCAGCAGAUGACUGUCUAACAUAAAUCUGGUUCCGCUCAAAGUUUCUGCCCUUUAAAGAAAGUUUUUCCUCUCCUUCAACUUGGUAAAAGCGGCGAAGUGUUACACUCAUGGUAGAUUGAGAUGGAUCAGAGUGGGUUUGAUUUUAUGAGAUGUGACAAUGGUUGGACAUGGACAAGGUUGGACAAGUGAUACUUUAGGUUAGUGCAUGCAAUGAGAGCUUACCUGUGCCAACAUUACUGUAUGAAAAAGGUGUCAAUUUUCUAAUUACCUCCGCCAAGGAGGUUUUGUUUUCGGUAGCGUUGAUUUGUUUGUUUGUUUGUCUGUUAGCAACUUUACGGAGAAAGUUACAGACGGGAAAUUUUCCCCAGAGGUGCGUCUCAGCCCCAGGAGGAUCUUUAUCGUUGUGAGAUAGGGCAAAUUUGGAAUUUUUGCAUUUAACUCGAUAAAAAUGUCCAGAGUGUUUAGUAAAAAAUGACACAAAAGGAUCUCAAUGACUUUAUGAGGUGUCAAAGGUUGAUCCUGAUCCAGACAAAAUUCUGGAUACUGUGAUCCAGAACACACAAAAAUAAGGGUGUCGUUGGAAUUUUCAAUGCUGAAAGAUAACCAAUGGGCGGCACAGUGGUGUAGAUAGGCGGCACAGUGGUGUAGUGGUUAGCACUGUCGCCUCACAGCAAGAAGGUCCUGGGUUUGAAUCCCGGUCAGGGCAUUUCUUGUUUAAGGGGGGACAUGAGCUCCUUGGCGGAGGUCUGCGCUCUCCGAGUGCUUUUCUAGUAUUGGUAUAGCUCUUCACAAACAUCUCUGUCUUGUAGAGGUUUAAUCAGCAGACUGUUUUCUCUCAUAAAGUGGUUGUAAUGUGCGCUAAAAUGUUUACAUGAUGGAGCAGAGAGGACAGCUUACUCUCUGCCAUCAUAAUCCACGGUAUCGUCUCUGCUCCAGGCCAUCCUCAGCGCUCACUCGUACCUUCUUCACAUUGUUGUCCGACAACAAUCUCAGCUCACAAAUCCAUGAACCUUCAAAUCUUCUCUCUUGGCGUUGGGUUUGUUGUUUUGUGUUUUGGCUCCUUGAAGAGGAAAUGGGGAAGAAGCUGAGCUCUUGGGAUUUUUUUUUUCUGAUCCCUCUUUUCAAUGAACUCUUCAUCUUUAAACAUCAGGGUAACAGCAGAUCAUGGAGUGAGGAAGACUCCAAGAUUUGUCUGCCAUCGUCGUCUGAAAAAGAGGAGUGAAGUGCGUGCAAUUCAGAGUCUGACACUGAUGACUCUACAGAGCCGUGAGUUUAUAUUUGAUGCCCUGAAACAGUCUGGCGCCAACACUGAUCGUAUUUACAACUCGACUGAUUUUAAGGGGCAAGUCUAGGUCACAUCUGGAGUCUCUCAAGGACAAGUUCACGUCAGGGUUUUGGGACCAACAUUAACGUUUAACCUCUGCAGUAUCCUUGCCAGAACUAUGAGGUAUGGACACAUGCUCUUUCUCCUCCUCCCUCCUCUUCCUCUCCCCCACAGUGACAGAGAUGUAGCUUCCAGAUCUCUCCCCUGCCACCUCUGAUUAGAGCCGGCGUGGGUGAGACACACCUGUACAGCUGAUGGGAGACAAUGCGGCCGCUUCCUCCCAGAGAUUGAUUUUCUCCAUUAAAACGGGCCCUUUGUCUAAAAACCCUGCACCCCUUUUGUUAUGCUAAAGAGAAGAUGGAAGAUUUCCAAUUCAAUUUGGGCUGAGACGAGGGCCGGUCAGCUAUAUGGGCGGCCAUUGUUCUGGCUGAGCCCGCUGGGACGACACUAGCGUCUCCCAAACGCCAAUUAAGCUGGACGGAGAGACGGACAGGGGGAUAAUUGACAGGCAGGAGAAAGGCAGCCGUCUUCCUCUCUGUCUCAUCAUUGAAAAAGAAAAUCAAAGAGAAGGAGCAGCAGAGGGGAGGAAAAGUGAGGGAUGAGAGGGAGAACAAGCAGGAGAGGAGUAAUAACCUGUAAUAUGCUGCCCAGAGCAAAUUCAGAUUACAAGAAGUGUUUAGCUCACGGACGCGACUUUGACCCGGGAGGCCGAGUAAAGACAAAGAGAGCCGUGAUUGAAAUCGGAACUUUGGUUUAAUGAUGAUUGAUUUCAUAUUUGAGAAAAUAAGGCCAAGUCUUCUCAGAAAUGACACGUCCUUAAAGAGCGCGUUUUACAUUAACUUUCAUUAUCUUCAUCCUUCAUCAUUAACCUGUCACAGGUCCACUCCUGUUUUAAUCACUUAAGAUGCAUCUAAUUAAGGGUAAUUUAAGGCAAACUCUUUAAUACUUUCACACUCAUCUCAGAGGAUGUCUUAAGAAAAGGUGGACUUGUCAUCUCUGUUUUAUCAGUAAGCUGUUUUAGGGCAGCCUGAGCAUACCAACAACUGAUAUAGUCUGUUUUGAGGUAAGAGAGUCCAUUCAAGACAGUCAGAUUCUUCACUUCUGUCAGUGAGACGGGUCUGUGUCACGUAUCUGAUGUAGGACAGCGUCUUAAAGGGACAUGAGACCAUAGUCUACCUACACACAUCCAAAACCAACUCUUAUUUAUUUACUUUUUUGACACCGAAUAUACCGAUACGGGCAAAAUGAUGUCCGUUAUUGUUGUAAAUUUUGGUAUCGAUAAAUAUUCAGUUUAUCGCCCAGUCCUAUGAUGAAGUAAAUGGUAUCCUAUCUUGAUUUUAGUGUUGGUGGAUGUACAACAAAGGGCAUAGUCUGAACCUCAUGAGGGUAUAGGGAUUACACAUCUUGGGACUCAGUGCUUUUUAUUCAAAGUUUGAUAAAAUAAUAGAUUUUCUCCCCGCAAAAACGUUUAGCAGAGGUGGGGGCUUGACGACUCGACUUGAGACUCGACUUGGACUUGAGUCCCGUUUUUGACUUGCUUGAUGUUCAUAAAAUGACUUGGACUUGCUUGGGACUUGAUUGCUAAAGACUUGAGAGCAAAGACUUGAGACUCGACUUGGACUUGCAUAUAAGGACUUUCCCCCACCUCUGCCAUUUAGAUUGUGUAAAGGAAUGCUAGGAUGUUUUUUUUAGGUCUGUUUCCCUCCUUUCUGAUGAAAGGUUUGGUCUGUUGGGGAUGCUUGACUCCAUCUUACCCUUUUACCCUCUGAGGGUACCCAGAGUCUAAACUCUGUUUUAUACAUUUUUUUGCUACAUUUGUUUGUGGUUCUUUUCUUUGUUUUGUUGUAUGAUUGGUUAUUAAGGUACCCCUUCUUUUUAUUUUUGCAUCAUUUUACCAACUUUAUUCUGAAUUAUUGAGUGACCAAACGUCCUCUUAUACCCAGACAUGUCACCUUUUUGGGGGGCUGUCCGACCUGUCCAGGAGGAGUUUAUAAAAUCCUUCAAAUGUCCGAGGUUUUGUGUGGAAGUUGGACUAACUGAGUUAAAAGCGCUUAAAAACACUCGACCCGACCUGAAAAACCCUCAAAAUUUUGUGUGCGACUCUUCCCCACAUAGUAGUGUCCUCUUUUUUGGGGGAUUCAGAAUAUUGUCACCCUAGAAUUAUUUCUGAGAUUCUCUGGUCAGGGUCAGAACUCAGACUCAAAAGUGUACCUUUGUCUACGUCAGACCAUAAGGUUCAGGUUUGGGAUUUGAGAACCAAACAAUCUGCAGAGGUGAAUCAGUCUAAUAAGAACAGUGAAAUCCAGCUUGCAACAAGUCUUUGUCAGGGAUUGCUGCUGGAUAUGCUUUGUCAUGCCUCUGUUCAAUCAGGAUCAGUGCUCAAGCUUUUAAUUAAAGGGUUAUUACGCAGACUUUAAGUCAAACAUCCACCUGUGCAUGAAAAGCACCUUUUUAACAUUUCCUUACUGACAAAUCCAAUUAGCUCUUUCCUCAGCUGCUUUCAUAUAUGAGACCUGAGCUGAGAGGCUUGAUUUGGGCUCAGAAAGGCUGGAAUUCCUGGUUUUAAACCCAGAGAUGAUUACAGUGAUACAGACACAAAGACGUUCAGUACCUGCUCUCCUUCAUUUCUCCACAGAGAGCUUUGUGAAUGAAUUAAAUUCACCAUAGACUGGAUACCUGCUCACUCUCAGUGGGAGCCUCAUAACUCUGUGAAUUAUAUCUCUCCAAAUGCGUUUUUAUCCGUCUGGUAUCUGAAGAGAGGUGUAUUGAUAUGUCACCUGAUAACGCGUAACAAAUUGUAAAAUCACAUGAAUCUUUUUGGGAUUGAAACCUGUAUCUUGGUCACUUUUUUUAAUCUCAUUUUUAUGCUGUAAGUCAACUCAAACUAUAUGCACCCUGUCAUUGACUUGUACUGUACAUAUCUGCAAAAAUAACAUGUUUUUCUCCACUUUCUCUCUUCCAAACCAAUUUUUUUUUUUUUUGGUGUUUCUUACUGUUUCUCCUUCAAAUCAUAAUUUCUCUCGCUUUUAUCCCUCCACCCCUCCUUUUUCACUUUCCCUCUCUCUGCUGGCUUGUGACAGACGGCCUAAUAGGAUUUAAUAAGCCCCAUUUGCAUGUCAGCCUUUUAAAUUUUCUGUAAGAAAGAAAGGCAAAAGGAGGGACGGGGGGGUGGAGAAGGAGGGAGGGAGAGAGGGCGUGAAGGAAAAGAAAGAAAGAGAGGAAGAAAGGAGGGCGGGAUUGGAGUGAGCGUGACGGCGGACGAUGAUUUAAAGACCCUUUUCCUCUUUUGAUUCAUGUAGAGAAGCAUCAGAACUGCCAAUAUCUGCAUUUUUCCUGGACUUGUCCAUCAUGAUUCUCUGGCAGAGCGAGCAGAGAUCUGAUUUCAGUGCGGGGAAAAUAGCUCAUUAUUUUUUUAUUGGCAUUUUUUGGUCUGUAUGUUGUUCCAGUUUGUCUCGAACACGACAAAUAUCACAUUUUGUUGGAAAUUUUAUUUUCAGUGAGAGCUGGCAACUUCACGUCACUUUCACUAAGUGGCUUUUGUGCUUUUGUUUGGGGUUUUUGAAGGUGGAGUGCAACAAAAAGGUCAAAAAUUCAUCACUGUAGACAACGAGAUAUCGAGUAAUACAGGACAAUCAAUUUCAGCCACUUCACAGAGCUCCUCUCUGGUCAUUUGAUGUUCAAAAUGGUUGAAUGUUCUCACUAUGAAACACAACAGGUACAGCUUUUUACUAAUAACUCUCUUCUUCAAAUGUUGGUCAGGGAUUUAACCUCUUUCCCCUCAAAACAGUGACAUUUUUAUUGAACGUUAGUUUUUUUGGAGGUGAAAUCAGUACAUCGUGUCAAGCCAAAGUUUGAAAAAAGAGGAGGCACAUGACAGAGCAGCUAAGUAAGAUCUUAUCGAAUCUUAUUGAAUUUCCUUUCGGGGAUCAAUAAAGUUCUUCUCAUCUUAUCUUAUCUUAUCUUAGUUUCUCAAUAUCUUUCGGGAGCCAUUUUUAUGGAAAGGGUUCUGCAAAACUUAUAGAAUAGAAUAGAAUAGAAUAGAAUAGAAUGCUCUUUAUUGUCAUUAUACAAACAUUGUACAACGAGAUUGGAGAGGGUCUCCCAUUCAGUGCAAGUAAAAAGUAAAAGUAAAGGUUUAAAAUAUAAAAUAUAAAUAUAUAUACGGAAAAGAUGCAAUAGAGUGUUGAAACAUUGUUGUUAAAUAGAUUCCACACAGUGGACAGUAGCAGCGACGGUAAAAAAACUUAUUGCACAGUAGGUAUGGCUAUGUAAAGAUGAAUACAACAGUGUUACAUGCCGGAGUUCAGGGUGGUGAUGGCUAUGGGGAAAAAGCUAUUUCUCAGUCUAUUCGUUCUUGCUUUGAGACAUCUGUAGCGCCUGCCAGAGGGCAACAGCUCAAACAGCUGAGAACCAGGAUGUGAAGUGUCUGCAGUGAUGUCACAGGCUCUGCUGAGACACCGGGAGGUGUAGAUGUCCAUCAUGGACGGUAGAGGACAGCCAACGAUCCUCUGUGCUGCUCUGAAUGUUCUCUGAAGCCUCGUUCUGUCAGCCUCAGUGCAGCUCCCGUACCAGGUGGAGAUGCAGUACGUCAGCAGGCUCUCGAUGGCUGAGCAGUAGAAGGCCAGCAGCAGCUUACUGUCCGAGUUGUUCCUCCUGAGGUCUCUCAGGUGGUGUAGACGCUGCUGAGCCUUCUUGAUGACAGUUGUGUGUCCAGGAGAGGUCAUCGGAGAUCUGGACUCCCAGGAACCUGAAUGUGUGGACUAAAGUAUUAAAGUUAAUGAAAAAUUAACUUUAAUACUUUAUGGGAAUCAUGUGACCCACGGGAAUUCCCAAAAAAUGUCAUCCUCUAGUUUAUAUCGCCCAGCCCUAUUUCUUACAGGAGCUUAAACUUCAGCCAUGCAGGUUGCAGCUCCAACAAAUGCAUGUAGUCCUCUAUGGUUUCACACUACAUCAAGAUUGUUGUUGAUGUAAUCUUUGUCAAUCUUUUGUUCAUGAUGAAUUACUGUUAUGUUUUUUUUUGCAAAAAAGUGUCACUGAGUAGAUCGAGACCUGCUAUAUAUGGUUUAAUGUUAAUUGUACAAUUUGGCAUAGGUUUAAUAUUUGAAUUGUUGAUAGCUGGAAAAUCUCAAUUUUUUUGUUUUAAUCAUGAGAAUUAAUUUUUUCCGCAAAGAGUUGAAAUUUUUUGGGACGGUGUUUUUUGCUCCUCCAGCUCUGGAAUGAAGAGAGAAAUGUUAGGCAAUAACAGUGUGUGUGUGUUUGUGUGUGUGUGUGAUGGGGAGGCUGUCGCUCUGUAAGGAGGAUAAAAGGUCCAGCCAAAAACCAUGAGAGUCACACACACACACAUCUCCUCUCACACUCACACACUCGGUAAUCCCCAUGUUGGUAGCUGAUGUUUAUUGGCGUGUAAUAGGAUCAGGAUGAGGCAGCGUCAAUAUCAGAGCAAACAUCUCACACCCUCUCUCUCUCUCUCUCUCUCUCUCUCUCUCUCACACACACACACACACUCACACACACACACUCAGCCGCUGAUCAAACAUAGCCCAGGAAACAUUGUGAUCCAGGAGAGAUGAGAGGACUAAUCCUUUUAGCCUUCUAAGAAGACUCUCCUCCUCCUCCUCCUCCUCCUCUUCGUCUCUUUCUCUCCCCGGCUCGCUUCCUCAAUCAUUCUUCUGUUACUUUUUUUUUUUUUGCUUGACAACAUUGUUUCCCCUCUCUCUGUGCCACUUUCACUGACAGGGACAGGGCUAAAGAGAGAGAGAGAGAGAGUCUGAGCUAAAUAUACCCGCUGUGUGUUUGUGUUAAGAGCAGAUUGAUCUGCUUGGUUUGCUCAGAGAUUAGACCUGAUAAAUCCUCCUUUUUAAACUGAACCAGCCCUCAUCAGCCUCCUCCCUCCCACACUGCAUUCAUGUGUGUGUGUGUGUGUGUGUGUGUGUGUGUGUGUGUGUGUGUGUGUGUGUGUGUGUGUGUGUGUGUGUGUGUGUGUGUGUGCCAUCAUCCCUACAGGACUGAACCAUCAGAAUUUAGAGUUUUAGUUUGGGCUAUUUAAAUUUGAAAGGAUGAAACCACUUUUGGGGGCACCACAGAAUCAUGGCUGAUAACCCAAUAUUUGAUGCAAAGUCAAGAUUUGUCUCCUCCUAAUUACAGAAAAUCAUGAUUAAUAUUUUCUCUUUUGAUUGUAUGAAGAAACUAGAAAAGCACUCGGAGAGCGCAGACCUCCGCCAAGCAGCUCAUGUCCCCCCUUAUAUUGUGAUUCACACCAAAACUUUUACUGUUACGUGUCUUUUAUGAACUUUUAUUUGUGUUUAAACUGGUAUGUUCACUGUUCAUAAUGUUCCUAAAACAAGAAAUGCCCUGACCCGGAUUCAAACCCAGGACCUUCUUGCUGUGAGGCGACAGUGCUAACCACUACACCACUGUACCACCUAUCUACACCACUGUGCCGCCCAUUGGUUAUCUUUCAGCAUUGAAAAUUCCAACGACACCCUUAUUUUUGUGUGUUCUGGAUCACAGUAUCCGGAAUUUUGUCUGGAUCAGGAUCAACCUUUGACACCUCAUAAAACUCAUUGAGAUCCUUUUGUGUCAUUUUUUACUAAAGACUCUGGACAUUUUUAUCGAGUUAAAUGCAAAAAUUCCAAAAUUUGCCCUAUCUCACAAUGAUGAAGAAUCCUUCAAAAAAUUCCUGGAUCCAGAAGGCGAUCCGGAUCACCACCAAAAUGUAAUGGGAUCCUCCUGGGGCUGAGACACACCUCUGGUGAAAAUUUCAGGUCAAUCCGUCUGUAACUUUCUCCGUAAAGUUGGUAACAAACAAACAAACCAACGCUACUGAAAACAUAACCUCCUUGGCGGAGGUAAAAAUGUGCUCAACUUUCAAGUCAUUCAUUUUUUAGACUUCCCUCUCGAUAGGAAGACGAGUUACCCUCCCUUAGUAUCUAUCCGGUAACUACACUGGAUUGAAACAUGGCAUUUUCAUGGUAACAAUCUGAUGAAUUCAGUGGGGGUUUGGGGGCUGCGAGCUGAGCUGAUUCUCACUCUAGUUCAAUUGCUGACUUGUUUUUCUGGAUUAAUUUGUAUAGAAGAAAAUGAGACGGAGUAGUAAUGGCCACUGGAAUUGAAUCCAGUAAUUGUUAAAAACACUUAAGCAAAUUAAUAAACAAAACUUUAACUGGUGUUGGGGGGCUGUGAGCUGAGCGAGCUGACUUUUAUUUUAGCCAAUUUUGACAUGCAAGUUGAAUAUUCUUUUUUGCCAAACAAAUGUAAAUCAGUUCAGUAAUUAAAAUCGUUUAGUGCUCUAAAACAUCGUCUCUUCCAGACACUUGCAGUCAGGUUCAGAGUCCUAUGAGCUGAGCAGACCUCAGCUCACCAGUUGACUGUAUUUCUCUGGAUUGACGCAUAAUAGAACUCUAUUUUAUAUACAACCGUGCCGUCAGAUGCAUGUUCGGAAUGACUGGUCAGAAGCAUUAAAUAAGCAUGUAAUGCAAAGGUUUACAUGUACUCCCACUGCAGGAGUACACAUGCUUGUGAACAUGUGUGUAUGUCUUCAAACAGAGCUGUGAGUGCUUAAUGAAUUUACUCUGCUCUGAUUGGAAAUUAAUUAAAACAGCCUCAAACAGACAGCCGCCCACAGGGAGCCCCAGCAACACACUGACAGACAGAUUACUGCUCCGAGGGGGAGGAAGGGGGAGAGACAAGGGGGGGGUCCAGAACUAUCAGGUGCACCUUCUGCAACCCCACAUGCCAUGAGUUAUAAGCACCGUCUACUUGUUGUCAAAUUUAGAAACUGUGCUCUGUGGAUUUCAGCUGAAUUAUCUGUUACUAUAGUCUAAAGUUUAAACAAUAUACUGAAAAAAAAAAUAGCUAAGCUCUUUAGUUUUGUUAUCAGUGUCACAAGCCUCCAGACUGUAUUUCUUAUUGUAGUUCUCUUGGAUUUGUAAGGUCAAAUGAAACUCUUUACACCAAGGUAUACGUGCAUAACUCUAAGGCUUACAUUAACCAAACAUUUCCAGGGCAAAUCUACUUCAAUUAUUUGUUCAUUUUCUUUUAAAUGAAGUUAAAAAAAGCUGCAGGGACCAAAACAGGAUUUGUGUACCAGGUUAUGAACAUGUUAAUUUCUGCCAUAAAGUUGGUCAUUGUCAAAAAGGGGACCCAAUAGGGAUUGACUCACUUUCGGAGCCAGCCUCUAGUGGACAUUUGAGGAACUUCAUGUUCCUGAAGGCUGUCAGUAACUACUAUUAAAUGUGUAAAUAUCUUCGCAUUUGAAAGUGUCUCAAGCUGAUGAUAAUAAAAAAAUAUACAUCAGUGUAAAGUUUCUUAAAGUUAAAACAUUUUUACAUCUGAAUGAACACAAACAUUAGUUAUUUUCAUGUGUUUGAGCAGUUUUUAAGGUUGAUGUCAGUCCAGCUUAUUAAACUGUGAAUGUAAAUAAAAUGAACCGAAGUAUUAGAUUAAUCCCUAUGACAGCUGAAACUGAAUGCACAUCUAUGAAUGAUUUUCCUCCAGCGAGACAAGUGUGAAUGAGACGAGACAAGUAAUAAGACAGACAAACAACAGACACGUCAAUAGUGACAAGUUACUGUACUGAAAGAGGACAAAUCUGACCGCGUCCUUUCACAUUAUCACAUUGUCCUUUCAAUCAGAGAAUUUGAAAACCUCCUCCUUCACAUGCAUGGAUGCCUUUUGAUAGGAUUAAUACCAUUAAAUAACCAAAUGACUCACACAAGUCUUCGCUGAAAUACUUUAAAUCCUCGUCUUUAUCCGAGCUUCUCUCUUUGCAGACCCCAAACAUACAAAACUGUCACUGGAUCACUUUGACACCAGAAGUAAAAACACUAAUCAUGACAGAAAAAUAGUAGUAGUUUAUUUGUCCCAUAGGGAAAUUGAAUUGCAGAAGAUCACACAUUUGGCAUUUCAUCAAGAACAGUACAGAUAAAAAAAAUAAAACAGCAUGUAAACAACUUUCACACAGAAUUAACAGUAAAAAUAAGUAACAUCAUAAUCACACUUCCUAAGUCUCACCUUUAACCUGAUCAGACCAGCUGAGCAGGCUUUAGGUGACUAACUAUGUGUUGGGUCUAAAACCUGCAACAAAUGACUCAAACACAAAGAAGAGAAAGACAAUGGUAUCAGAUUUCUUACUCGCGAGGAGAACGGACAGAGAUACGUUCAAUUACAAUCUCCUCCCGCUCUAAAGUCUAUCUUGUCGUCUCCUCUCUUUUUAUUAUCCUUAGGGUGGUCCCUACUUACAUGACGCUGCAUACACUAAAGGGUGGGGAAUCAAUCUGCUGCAGCGUAUUCACUUACAUAACACAUAAUUAUACUAGAGUAAAUAUGUGCAGACUUCUUCUGGAGAUGUCAAGAUGACCGCUGACAUUUCACAGUCUCCUUUGUGGUGGUUAACUGUUCACAGCGGAGACAGGUACCCAUCUGCUUACAGGAAGAAGGCGAGCUCAGAGAUGUAAGAAAAACACACGAGUUGCAAAGCAGAAGCUGAGUAAAGCUACUGAUAAUUUCUAUAAACUUUUAUACACAUUACCCUAACACUAUGGCUAUUUGGUAUUUAGGCAUUUAACGUUUUUCCUGUCCUGUCUCUGUAGAUGUCUUCCAUACAUGGUAGAGUAGUGCCCAGUAACUUACUGGAUAUGGAUAUAAUUUGUCUAACCCUCUUUUUCUGUGCCUCUGUGGCAUUGCCAAACCAGCAAGUAACACAAAAAGAAAGAAUCCAUUUGGAGCAUUCUCCUUUCAACAGUAAAAGACAGAAGUUUCUUUAAGUGGAACAUUCUUUGUUGAGACUUGGUACCAAUCCAAUCCAUUUUAUUUAUAUAGCACGAUUUAAACAAACACAAGGUUUCCAAAGUGCUGCACAGCAAGAUAAAAAUACAGUAAGUAACAGAAUAGAAGCACAAUAAAACAAUGAAGAUAAAAUAAAAUGAGAUGAAAACACAGUACAAUCAAAUAAAAAGCAAAUAAAAGACAAUAAAAAUGAAAUCAACCUUCUACUGAGUGUUAAAAGCCAAGGAGAAGAGAUGGGUCUUAAAAACAGACAGAGAGGAGGCCUGUCUGAUCUGCUGAGGCAGGUUAUUCCAGAGUUUAGGAGCAGCGGAUCAGCUGAUCUGAGAGAGCGGGACGGAGUGUAAAAAUGUAGAAGCUCAGAGAGGUACGGCGGGGCAAGACCGUUGAGGGAUUUAAAAGCAAAUAAAAGAAUUUUAAAAUGAACCCUAAAACGUAAAGGCAGCCAGUGGAGUGAAGCUAAAAUACAAGAGCAUGCUGGGAUUGAGCUGAUUUACGACAGAGAAGCAGAUUUAAUAUUUUAGUAUUUGUUUCUCUCCUCUCAGAUUCCCUGUUUGGACUCAUCGGUGCUGUCUAAGAGGACUCUCUCUUUCAGAUCAUACCAUUUCUUCAAAAGCUACGAACAGACCACAAGGUAAGACAGCUGGUUGUUCCUGAACCUGCAUGGUUUUGACUUUGACUUUCAUAAGCAUUUUUAUUUUCAUUUCUUAGUGGGCGUAAAUCACUAAAACUCUGAAAUAACUACCUUUAAAAUGUCUAUAAGAUUACUUCUGCAUCAAGGAAACCCCACAAACACAACCCAAGUUUCUUUUCUUUUUAAUUGAAGUAGUUUCAUCUUUAAAUUAAUUCUCUGACGUGAGCAUGUAGUAAAAAAACGAGGCCAGAGCUGAAGUUUCUGCUCCACGUGAUGCUCUGCUGCAGACGUUGAAGCUAAAAGCAUCAGGACUCCACCUGUUGCUGCGUCAGAGCUCUUCCUCCUCCGGUUCAGGAAGUGUUAACUGGCGAGGCUCGCUCAGGCAGACAAUGAUGUUAAAGACUAAUUGACGAGCACUUUAAAUAAGUCCUAAUUAGAGCACGGCUGGUAAUAAUUGGGCAGGCAGUCUGAGCACUAAUUAGCGUUAAAAAUAAGCCUGCUAUGUGCAUGUGUGUGUGUGUGUGUGCAUGUGUGUGUGUGUGUGCAUGUGUGUGUGUGUUACGGUGUGGAUGAAUGAUCUCUGCAGGGGGGCUGAUGAAGAAGCAGACGGAGUGAGAGAGGGAGAAAGGGGGAGAUAAAAUGCCGCCCCUCCUCGCUCUUUUGUGGUGGCGUGCAGUCUGUGGGUGGCCCCCUCUCUGCACGAGGUGGAGGGCAGGUGUUAUAUCUGUGUGUGUGUGUGUGUGUGUGUGUGUGUGUGUGAGUGAACUUGCUCCUAACAGGACUAAUUGAUUCUGUACCCUCUCCUUUUCCUGCCCAGUCUUUCCCUCUCUCGCACACUCUGUUUUUUCUCCUCCGCUCGGCCUCUAAUUGCAGAGAGGCAGCUAGGAAACAGCAGUAAUAGAUUUGCCACCUGCUGCACAGACACAUUAGUAACACACUCGAAUGACUUGUUUGCCUCUCUCUCUCUCUCCCUGCUGUUGUCUCUUCAUUGUUUACAGCGAGUCCUUUCAGCCAGCGACCCAGGUGUACUGAUCCCCCAUCUGGAUAUCAGCCAGCCUGCAUGUUAAAAAUACUACCAGGUGGCACUCCUCUUAAUGUAUGAGAUAUGUUUUCGCCAUAUUUCUUCGCUGUGACUCUGUUGAGUUAGUAGAGCUUGAGUCAUGCACUUUAUUUCUGAGGAGAGCUUUUAGCAGCUGUGUUGUCAACUAUCGGUGAGAAGCUCUGAACUUCGUUUCGGUCCAUUUCUCGUUUCUAUUCAUGUAAUUUACUGUAACUUUUAUUUUAAAAAGCGGUUAUUUUGAAUUCGAUGCUGGAAACAUGGGGAGAUAGUUGAUAUGGGAUCAUGUUUCUUAAUAUGUGUCAUCAGCUCUUCUCCUACCAACACUCUGUAAACAUUAGUGAGUCCAGGAGACCAGUUUCUGUACUCUGACAGUGAGAUAUUGUCCCAUUCUUGCCUGAUAGAGGAAGACUAGAGUCUCCUUUAUCCUACUUUUUUUGUCUUGAGGUACAAAAUAUUUUUAGUGGGUGUCAAGGUCCUUACACACCGGGGCUGAUGCGAAUAUAGAAUGUGAAAUUACGAAAUAUUCGGCAGAGAAUUUUGACAGGUGCUAGUCCGGCCUCCUUUGCCUCUGAUUGGCAAGGAAAUCUGGAAACGUCAUCACACGCUCAAGCCAAAUGGUCAGCACUUAUAGCAAGUCAGAGGCGAUAAGAUAAGCACAUGAAACUAUGCUAACAACCGUUAGCUUACGGCGACCGGUUGAUUGUUUACGUGUUGGAGAACAGAGUGAUUUUUGAUAAAAGACACAAACAUUACAAAGAUAACACCCGGAGGACAACAUAGUGUCGGAUCUCUCAUAUGACGAUGGUUUGUGCGCUUUAACAGUUUGAUAAACGUCUUUGUUUUAACUUUCAUCUGUGCUAAGUAACUUUAGCUCGUAAGCUAACCUGUUCAGAUACAACAUACCAUAUGUAUUUUCACUGUAAACUCAAACUCAAUCACAGCGUUUCUGUCACAGCACCAUUAGGUCUCAGUUGCGUUGUUCCCGGUGUGUAAGGAACGUAACUGUGAACACGGCGCUCAGAUGUUUUUAAGAGUAAAAUACUUUGUCAUGCGGCGAUUACAACUGGUAUAGCUAACAAUAACUAACAAUGGCUAACAGUAGGCGUCUAUCUUAGUUUUCUGACUUGUUUACUGGAACGCUGUCGACUCGGGUGUAACAUCAUUCCCAGCUUCGACAGCCGACUUCCGAGGUAACAAGAACGCAGCGUGAGACCUACUGGAAAAGAAAGUUAGUAUGAAUGUCAUAGUCUCUUUCCUGGAGAUAAAUGUGUGUGGAUGAUAAAAUGACUUGGACUAAUCUGAAUAUGGUCGUUCUUUUUUGUUAAUAUUUGAUCUAAUCUGUUAUCUUUAGUCUCGUUGGCUUAUCUUUUUAAGCUUCUACCCACAUUGCCAAAACUACAACCAAAUGGUUUGAUAUCCAAAAAGAAUGUAAAAUUUCCAUCUCUCAGACCAUACAACAUUUUUUUUCAAUUCCUCUCAAUCCAUCCUAAAACAAAUGGUUAUUGGGAGUGAUUUUGAACCCAUGCAGUGAUUUCCACUAUAGAGUCAUGUCUGUUUUCAACUUAGUACUGCUUAAGGACUUAAAGAUUACAGCCAUCCACUCUUGUUUUUAUCCCUUUUUGUACAGAGAUUUUCUCUUUUGAUGAUAUGAACCUGCCAUUAAACCUCAAACAUCGAAACUGUCGACAGAAUGUGGAAUCUGCUCUUUCAAAAGGGAGUGAUCUUGAGACAUAUCGAGCUGUUCUGAAAGACCCAUUUUCUUCAAGUUUAUGAGUAUUUUGAACUGUGAUCAGUGGUGAGGUCUGCUUUUCAAGUCCAAGAACUUGAAGUCGUGUCCUCUCUGUGUAACCGCAGCAGGAUUCAUCACUCACUCAGACUUAAAAUUAAAAAUUAUUUGAACCACUAAUUAAUGGCACAGCAGAGCCAGUCUGAAAUGAACUGUCUGGUUUGGAACAUGCCAGCUGUGCAGUUGUUGGUCUCUAAUUGCUGGUUAAUUAAUUAAACAUCCAGCGGAUUAGAGGAAUUAUGGGCAAUUGUCCUUUAACAACUCUUAACAAGGUCUUGAUUAUGGCCUCAGCUGUAUCCUGUGGCUCAAAUGAUCCUUCAAUUAGUGAUGGAAAGCUCUAGAAGAGACACAUUUGAGGAUGAGAUGAUGAAUAUGAGAUGCAAAGGUACUUUUUUUUCCAUUUCGCAGCAGCAAACUUUUUAUUCCUUUUUUUUAACAUUAACACAUUUCCAAUAUGGGAGUAAAAGGGUUUCUACAAGACCUUGUCCAGCUACAGGGUCAUUGGUGUUAGGUUUCAGUUUUUCAACUAAUGAGAAUGUUUUUAUUCAACAGCAGUCCACAGCAAUUUCAAUUUUUAUAAGAUUUAAAAAACACAUUUAUACUAUUAUUCUACUUGGUGCAUUCAACUGAUUACCUCCACAAAGGAGGUUAUGUUUUUGGUUGUGUUGGUUUGUUUGUUUGUUUGUCAGCAACUUUACUUAAAAAGUUACAGACGGAUUGACCUGAAAUUUUCACCAGAGGUGCGUCUCAGCCCCAGGAGGAUCCCAUUAAAUUUUGGUGGUGAUCCGGACAAAAUUCUGGAUACUGUGAUCCAGAACACACAAAAAUAAGGGUGUCGUUGGAAUUUUCAAUGCUGAAAGAUAACCAAUGGAUGGCACAGUGGCGUAGAUAGGCAGUACAGUGGUGUAGAUAGGCAGUACAGUGGUGUAGAUGGGCGGCACAGUGGUGUAGAUAGGCGGCACAGCGGUGUAGAUGGGCGGCACAGUGGUGUAGAUAGGCGGCACAGUGGUGUAGAUAGGCGGUACAGUGGUGUAGUGAUUAGCACUGUCGCCUCACAGCAAGAAGGUCCUGGGUUCCAAUCCAGGUCAGGGCAUUUCUUGUUUUAGGAACAUUAUGAAUAGUGAACAUACCAGUUUAAACACAAAUAAAAGUUAAUAAAAGACACGUAACAGUAAAAGUUUUGGUGUGAAUCACAAUAUAAGGGGGGACAUGAGCUGCUUGGCGGAGGUCUGCGCUCUCCGAGUGCUUUUCUCGUUUUUGUUAUGUUGUAAUUUUGAAGUAAAGCUGCAGUUUGUUCUACAACUUUUUCCUGCAAUUCCAACUUCACUGCACUAUAAUAAACUGGGGUGUUUUUGAGCUCUAAUAGGGCCUCAUACUUCCAGCUGCAUUCAUGUAUAAAACCGGUCGUAUUUCAGGACUCUGACACAUGGUGACGGGAAGAUUUCUCCAGCCUCUGCAGCCCUGUCACAGAGAUAAACGUUGUAGAUUUCCCAUCAUACACACAUGCACGCACACACACAUACACUGGUUGUAUGGAGAUAGGAAGGUGGCUGACAUUUGUGGAGCCCCGGGUGAGGACAUGGCCUUUUCUCCUCAUUUCUCCCGGCCAAUCACCCAGACUGAAAGGGGACGAAGAUAAGGCCUUUUGUUUGGCCUGACAAUGUCCCACUGAUACUGCCGUGGGAGACCAUUCAGUGUGCGAGUCUGUGUGUGUGUGUCUGCGUCUAUAUGUGUGUGUGCAUGCUGGGUCCCGUCCCUUAAAGACAGGGAGCCCCUCAGAGAAGUCAUUACAGGAGCAUUAUUCUCAUCAGAGCUGCCUCCAGACACUAAACUUCUACAUGCCCACGAUCACAGAGCUGAGGACAAGAUGGCGCACAAGAUCAGACUUUAAACUCAAAGUCCUGUGAGGAAUUUAUGAUCCUGUUUUUUGCAUAAGUUAACCACUGCCUAGAAGAAAGAGUUGUCCUUUUAGCUCAAAAGCUUUGAUAUGUUCAUAAAUUCAUAGAAAAUGUUGUCCUACACCCCGAACAAAUCAGAGCUGUUGUCACUUUGGUUUGAUGACAAAAAGGAGCUGGGCUGUGAGCUACUGUUGAGCUGGAGUACAUUUUUCCCCUCUGUGUUGAAACCAUUAUUCUCUUUUUUUACAUUGAGGCUGCCAUGACAGUGACUGACAGCUGACAGCGAGCACACGACUGCUGCAGAGUACGAUUUGCACUGCCUGGUUGCCUUGACGUCUGAACAAUGCGACUCAAAUCUGACAGAAUUCUCCUUCCAAGAUGUUUUAUUUUAUUUCAUGUGCAGUUUUCUGUAUCACUGAAGCAGAAAGAAACGCAGGAAGGGUCAGGUGAAUUUGAACUUAGGGCCACAACCUUAUUGUCUGUGUUAGAAAGAUAAGCCAACUAGACUAAAGAUAACAGAUUAGAUCAAAUAUGAACAAAAAAGAACGACCAUCUUCGGAUUUAUCUCCAGGAAAGAGACUAUGACGUUCAUACUAACUUUCUUUUCCAGUAGGUCUUACGCUGCGUUCUUGUUACCUCAUAAGUCGGGUGUUGAAGCUGGGAAUGACGUUACACCCGAGUUGACGGUGUUCCAGUGAACAAGUCAGAAAACUAAGAUAGACGCCUACUGUUAGCCGUUGUUAGUUAUUGCUAGCUAUACCAGUUGUAAACGGCGCAUGACAUAGUAUUUAACUCUUACAAACACCUAAGCACCGUGUUCACAGUUACGUUCCUUACACACCGGGAACUAAGAAAAUAUAGGACGCGAAAUUAUGAAAUAUUCGGGGCGAAUUUUGACGCGCCUGACUGUACUCAUCAAGCACGAUGUGAUUUUGUGGCUUUCCAGGGGGGAAAAAAUACCCGCGGACAUACAGGGUAUUCUUUACGUUUGUUUUGCCCUUUUGGGGUUAAUUUCAGCCUCUCAAGUGAACCUUGUUUUAUGCAAUUACAUCCACCAGUCAGCCAGCUCACAGACGCGUCUGCUGCGCCCAAUACUUUAAUUGGAGAGCAAUCGUAACGUUAACGUUAGGCGUUUUAAAGUUCGCCAGAAGCCUAAGUUUUGGGACAAACCCGGUCGGACCAGCAAGUGGUGGGACAACUUCGUUAGAGGGGCUGUGCCUGCAGAUGACACUGUCACAUGGACCCGACAAAAUGGCGUAGCUUCCGCAAGCAAUGCAUGACGCAUCACGCUGUUACGAUUCAUCGGCCAAUCAGGUAGCUUUGUUCCUGAAUUUUUUUUAAGCGGCACCAGAUAGGAUUGAGUUUGAACUAACUUGAGUUGAGAACUAACACGUGUGGACAGAUACAUUUAUUUAGACGAGAGGACAAAAAUAUCCUGAUAAAUAGGAUUGGGUAUCGUUUGAUUUUGAACGAUUCCGAUUCCAAUUUCGAUUCCUCAUUUCGAUUCCGAUUCCUAUCGAUUCUCUAAUUUGAUUCUUUUAAAAGGCAGGAUAUCAAAAAGAAAAAAGAAAAAAAAGCAUGGUUUGAAUGAGGGUGCUAACCGGGGCUCUUCUUUUUGGAUGAAAUUUCUGAACUUCUCCAUGAAUUUUUAAAUCCUAUGAACUUUUUAAGAACUUUACUAUGAAUUUCUCACAGAGCUAUUUUCAACCAGUAUAUAAAUAUCAUUUUUUGUUUUCAGGUCGUUUGUCUAUGAAAAAGUACAAGGGCUAACGUUAGGUGGAUAUUUAAGUUUACUCACCGUACACAGUUCAAUUUGUUUACCGCUUCAAAGUUAACAGAAGUAAUUUAUUGUUUCACUUAUCUGAUCCUGACUGGUUAGCGGAAGACAGGUGUUGUGCUGUAGAAUGCACCCCUGCCAUAGAAUGCCUCCCCUCCACUGAUUAGCUUCUUAGUGGAAGAAAUAUGAUCUCAUAUUUAAUAAAACACGGGUAUUAGAUCAUGAAAACGUGUCAAAUGGAGCAGUAAACUUUCGUUUUGUUUGUAUGUGUCUCAAAAAUGCACACAUAAAGGUGUACUUGGGUAUAUAAACUGUACAGUAAGCUGUUAAUGUAGAGAACAUUAUAUUUUCCGGACAGUAAAUAUUCCGAAUCAGAGGGCUAUUGUUUUCGGCAUAUCGGAAUAGCCUGAAUGAAAUCAUUAAAGGCACACGCUUUAGAUUCCGUCCAACGGUAAGAAAAACUUGGAUUGUUUCGCCUCGUUGUGUACUUUCAACCGCGCUCCCGUCAGGGGUGCAUUCUACGACACAACACCGGCGAAGCGCGUCAAAGACGAGCACUCGGGUAUUUCUCCUCCAUGAAUCCUGAGGUGUUUAAUCAUGUUGGUCGUUUACCCUCCUUUGCAUGAUAUAACUGUAUUGCUAAUGUUGCAUUGAGAUAAGAGUUCAUUCUUCCUGCUAAAGUUAGCCAAACUUUUGACCAACGAAGAAGAAGCUGCCGAACACCAACGAGGACGGAGCGUAUGAGACGAAGAGAGGAGAGAGACAGAGAGAGAUUGUAACCCACAGCGGCUGCAUUGCUGUGGGUUGCAAUGUACUUUCUCUCUCUGUCUCUCUCCUCUCUCUGUGUGGCUUCGUCUCAUACGCUCCGUCCUCAUUGGUGUUAAGCGGCUUCUUCUUCGUUGAUUUUCGGCGGCUAUUUCUUCCGGUCGGCGGACUCUGGCAUCGAAACUUGGAAUCGAAAUUUUAAUAUUUGAACGAUACCGGAAGAAUCGAAGUUUUAGUCCCGAUUCCCAUCGAUUCUCGAUUCUCGAUUCCCAACCCUGCUGAUAAAUAAAUAUCUAUAUACGUGUAGUCCAGGCCUGAGUCGGGGCCAGUACCAGAUAAGCACAUUAAACUAUAAUCUAUAAACGUAAGGUAACAACAGAGACCUAAUGGUGCUGUGACAGCAACACGACUGAGUUUGAGACAGUGAAAAUACAUAUGGUAUGUUGUAUCUGAACAGGUUAGCUUACGAGCUUAAGUUACUUAGCACAGAUGAAAGUUAAAACAAAGACGUUUAUCAAACUGUUAAAGCAUCGUCAUAUGAGAAAUCCGACGCUAUGACUCUCCACAAGUUGUCCUUCAGGUCACAUUGAACGGACCUGAAUAGUUUGCUGACCAUGAUAUAACCGUAAUUGUCAUACAGCAUGACUUAAACUCCGUGGAUAAUCUCUCUGUGGGAUAUUUAUCUAGAAAAAGAUGAAAAACACCAGCUGAAGGCUAUACCAGAGCUUCUUGGGCUUCACUAACAUCCCAGCAGAUCUACAGGCUCAUCACCUCCGUUCAAUGUAAAGAAACCUCUUUUGCUGUGUCAAAUUCAGAGCACUAGUAAGUCUAUCUAAAUCAUGCGGAUUCAUCCAGUUUAAGAAGAAAAUGGCGACCAAAGAAAACUCGAUCAACUGAUGCUGAGAAUCAAAAAAGAAAAAAACGAACUUGAAAUCCAGAUCAUGAUCCUGAUCUUGACUAAACCUCUCCAACAUCCGUGCUCUGGACACCAUGUUUGGGAGAUGUCAUCCCAUAUCGUGUGGAUAGCUGGAUAUUAUAUUGUUAGCAGUAAAUGGUGUUAAGAUAGUGUCAGGUGGGAGGGGGAGUGCUCUCAUUUAAGAUGAUAUCUCUCUGGGAAAAAAGGGGCAGCAGCCAAAUGCAGCAGGUUUGAUAAUUUUGUCAAAUUGCCAGCAGCACUUUGAGGCCUCUCUGCAGAACAUCUUAAAGAAGACCUGCUGUAAUAUAUGAAACCAUCUUCAUAAUGUAUCAGGACUGAAUGGCUGCAAUGCCACUUAAGGUAGUGGUGCUGUAAUUGGUGCUCAAAAAAUCUUAAUAGUAUCAUAUAUCCUGAGCUGGGCUUUUAAAAGGAUCUAUUGUGAGGUUUUGCCUUGAUCUCUUACGCUCACACACACGCACGCACGCACACAUAAACACACACACACACACACACACUCACACAGGAUAAUGCAUUCAAGCCAUCAUUUCAUCGUAGAAAUCCCCGGCGUAUCGGGACACCACAUGCUGUAAUGAUCGUCUGUAAAUGGCUCGGUUGGACCGCUAACUUGUGUAAAUAGUGCAGGCUGAGACUAAUGUACUGUCUUGUAAUAGGGGGAAAUUGCGCACCUAUUACAGCUAGACCCUCACAGAGAGGAGGAGGAGGAGGAGGAGAGAGGAAAAGGAGGUGGAAGAAGAGGAGGAGAAGAGAAAUAAGAAAAAAGGGGAAUUAAUGAGGAAGAUGAAAGAAAAUCAGUGGAGGGAGAAAAGAAAAGUUUGAGUGUGUGUGAGGAGACUUUUGAAGCUCAACAGGAGGGCGUUAUUUGUGUUGUGGUAAAAGCUGAAUGAUGAAUGUAAUAUUUUUGUAUUUCUCUGGAUUUGCGCCCAAUAUCAACUUUGGGACAUGGUUGAUAGGAACAGUUUUUAAUUGUUUACAAAUCAUUCAGAGCCUCUUUUGAAUCAAAAAUAAUAAUAAUAAUGCAUCAGAUUUCAUAUAGCGCUUUAUCAGAGACCCUCAAAGCGCUUUACAUUGGAUACAUCAUUCAUUCGCUCACACAGUCACACUUUGGUGGUGGUGGAAACGUGGCUGCCAUUCUGCGCCUACGGCCUCUCCGACCACCACCAUACAACACUCACAAUCAUACACCAGUGGAGGACACACACUGGGAGCAAGGUGGGUUAAGUGUCUUGCUCAAGGACACAACGGACAGACUUGGAUUAGGGGGGAAUCGAACCGCCAACCUUCCGGUCAUUGGACGACAGCUCUACCUCCUGAGCUACUGCCGCCCCACGAAAUAGUGGAGAGACAACAUGUAAACUGUUGAUACCGGACAUGUCAGGACUGCAGUCAGGCUGGUUUAGCAGCGAGACUCUUCUACAACAGAGUUUGUCAUUUUCUUGCUGAAAUAUGAAGGUCCUCUUUGUCUGGAUGGCAGCAGAUGUUGCUCCUAAACCGGUAGUGGAGCCUUCACAGAUGUAGAAGAUACCCAUGACAUGGACUCUGAUGAUCCCCAGACCAUCAGGGAUGCUGGCUUUGAACUGGGAGCUGAUAACAAGCUGGGUGGUCCCUCUCUUCCUGAGAGAGAAGGAGGAUGGGACAUGUGUGAUUUCCAAAAGCAAUGUCAUAUUUUGAUUCAUCAGACCAUAGGACAGUUUUUCACCUCAGUCCAUCUUAAAUGAGCCCAGGUCCAGAGAAGCCUCUGGUGUUUCUGGAUUUUGUUUCCACCUGGUUUCCUCUUUGCAGUUUUCAUCCUGUAUUUGUUUUGAUCGUCUCCCCUUUAACAUUGAGAUUUCUCCAGAUCCUCUGAAUCUAAAUUCACUCAUUCUCUUACAGAGUGGUGAACCUCUUCUCAUCUUUCCUUCUGAAAGACUCAGCCUCUCUGAAUGUCCUUUUUACACCCAGUCAUGGUACUAACCUGUUUUUUUUUUUUUUUAGCAUUACAACUUUGUAUGAACCUGUUGCUGAAUCACAUUUAAAGAAAUAUCAACACCAGUCCCUAAAGGUCCUUACACACCGGGAACGAAGCAAAUAUACAACAUGAAAUUAUGAAAUAUUCUGAGGUGAAUUUUGACACGCUUGACUAUAAAUCAAGCACGAUGCGAUUUUGUGAGAAGACUGAGCCAACAGCAGACGGAGUGUUUUUCAGUUCUGAUUAGACUCUAGUGUUGAGAAGUCUGUCUGUCAUGAUAGCAUGAACUGAGUCGGGGCCAGUACCAGAUAAGAACAUUAAACUAUAAUCCAUAAACGUGAAGUAACAACCGACUGAGUUUGAGACAGUGAAAAUACAUAUGGUAUGUUGUAUCUGAACAGGUUAGCUUACGAGCUAAAGUUACUUAGCACAGAUGAAAGUUAAAACAAAGUCGUUUAUCAAACUGUUAAAGCACACAAACCAUCGUCAUAUGAGAAAUCCAACGCCAUGACUCUCCACAAGUUGUCCUUCAGGUCGUUAUCUUUGUAAUGUUUGUGUCUUUUAUCAAAAAUCACUCUGUUCUCCGACACGUAAACAAUCAGCUGGUCGGUCAUGUUGAAUAUACCGGUGAAUCUGACAUUGCAACAUCACGAAAUCUGAUUGGUCAGAAGUGGACACACAGUAUGUGAAACUGAAGAAAAUUUGACUGUGAUACGAAAAAAUAAAUGCCGCAAUAUCACAGGACGGGAAAAUGUUGCUGACGUGAACGCUUGUAUUAACAGGAUACAGGUUAGAAAAAAAAAUAUUGACAUACGAAAUAAUCGCACGUAAAAAACGCUCCCGGUGUGAAAGGACCUGAAGUAUUAAAAAAUGUCUUUUUUGGGACACUAACUUGUGGUACUCCAGAUGUUUAAGCUGCUUGUUUGUUGCAGUUUGAGCUUAGGUUAGCAUUUGCUCAUUUUCAUUGUUUGCAGUCAUGCAUCUAAAGUCAAAAUCAAGAAACCUUAAGGUUGUAGAUGUGGGUGCUUUUCAAUGCCCUCUCGCUAAUAAUAUGUAAAGAAACCAAAGAAACGUCUGCUAAUUGAAGGUGUUGUGAUAAAAUAUGAAUGAAAGCUCUGAUAACAGGCUUACAGCCGUUAAUGAAACAGAUGAAAACAGAGUGUCAUUCAUGGUGUUUGAGUUCAUGUGAAUCACACUGAAGUGAAGUAUGAGGCUUUUUAAAUCUGCCUUUUAAAUCGGGGUUUGUUUGCAGACAGAAACCCCUCUCUUAUAGGUGUUUUGUCACGUUGUUGUUGUUUAAGGGAAUUAAUUGAAACUCUGCAGAGCCGGCUCUAAUACACGCUCAUUUCCUUUAGCUACUGUUAAGCGUAAAUUGGCAAACCUCUGCAUAAUGUGUUUGUGUGAAUAGACAGUUUAGAUCGUUGUUUGUUGGAAAUAUUUGUUUGCUCAGUUAUUGUGUUCAUGCAGACGAAUAUGAAGCCUGUCUCUUUAUGCUGCUUCAUUUCUUCUUAGUUGUUUGCUAUUAUGAUAACAAGGAUCCAUUUGAUGUCAGCAGGCCUUUUAUCUUCAAAUGAGCCAUUUAAAUGUCAUUACUCUGUGUGUAUUUUUGUGUGUGUAUGCGCGUGAUCAUUCCUCUUACACGGCCCAUUCAUGUCUCGUCAUUUCUUCUACAAGGAGAAAUUACCAGCAUUCACUCGGAUUCUGCAGCAGCUACUAUUUUCACUUUUUAUUGUUCAGUGGCAUAAAUUUGAGCUUUUGUGCGUCUCUGUCCUCACUUGUUUACUGUUCAAAUAUCAGGCCAAAAUGACGACACAAAGAUUAUUAGAGUCAUUAACAUGGUAAACAUUUGUUUUGUCCUUUUUUUUCAAUUAAAAAUUAUCCAUUUAGCAUUGACCAACAUUAAUGAUGUUUGUGAUAAAAAACCUUUUUAUACCUCUUGGAUCGACACAUUGACAGUAAUCAGAAAUAUAAUUCCCUUCAGGGAGGAGGUGUUCACCAAAGCCUGAAGCUGACUUGAGUGAAGGUCUUUACACACCGGGGCCAACGCGAAUAUAAAAUGCGAAAUUAGGAAAUAUUAAGAGGUGAAUUUUGCAUCCCGGGGAAGACUUUUCCCGGGGAAAGUCCCGCCUCCUUCACCUCAGAUUGGCUAGAAAAGCUGGAAACAUCAUCACACGUUCAAGCCAAAUGGUCAACACUUACAGCCAAUCAGAGGUGAUACGAUAAGCACAUGAAACUAUGGUAACAACCGUUAGCUGACAUUGGUACAGAUGAAAGUUAAAACAAAGACGUUUAGCAAACUGUUAAAGCGCACAAACCAUCGACAUAUGAGAAAUCCGACGCUAUGUUGUCCUUCAGGUCGUUAUCUUUGUAAUGUUUGUGUCUUUUAUCAAAAAUCACUCUGUUCUCCGACACGUAAACAAUCAGCUGGUCGGCCAUGUUGGAUAUACCAGUGAAUCUGACGUCGCAACAACACGCAAUCUGAUUGUGAACGCUUGUAUUGACAGGAUACGGGUUUGAAAAAAGAUAUUGACGUCCGAAAGACUUCGAUGUACAAAAACUAAAAGUUAAGUUACUCUUUAAUAACUAUUGCAGCAGUCACACUCACACUCUUUAAGUCACGUUUUCCUGAGUCAUUGGACCAUUUUUUUCGACAUCUUUAAAAGUGCAUGAACUUGAUUUGUUGAUCUACAUCUCAUGCCACCUCUGUCUAUUUCCUGGAGUGGCAGAUAAGCCAUAGGGCAGCUCUCCCAGUGCUCUAUGGGUAAUUUAGGACAUCCCAUCUGGCAGGUUGAGUUGACAGGGCCUCUGUCUCUGCAGCAGUUCUCUGUAAUUUGCUUGUUUUCUUCUCUGCCAUAGAGCUGACAGACUGCAGGAGUAUUCCUCUCUCUCUCUCUCUAACUCUUUCUCUUGCUCGCUCGCCCUUUUUCUAAGUGUGCUCUCUCUCCUUUUGUUGUCAUUGUGUUAUUCAGCUCAGCUCUGUGGCCUCUGAGUCAAGAAGAAAAACACAGGCUGCAGGCAGCAUAGAAAUCAACCCUACUCUGUCAAAGUGAAGAAAUCUAACACAGCGAUGAAAACACAGUCCUCCAGCAAACACCCGGGGCCUGUUCUACCAAGCAGGAUUACUGCUUAGCGAGGUAACUUGAAGGGUAGGUUAGGGGUUUCCUGCUCUUCUUAGCGAAGUGAGUCUCCAUGGCAACGUACGCUGAACGGCUAACCUGCUCCGGGGCAGGUUAAGUUCCAGAUUGAACUCACAGAGUAUAAAAACCCCACCCACUGACCAAUGAGCUCUCUCGAAAAAUGGCUUGUCCGUUCUUGGAGGAUCCUACAGAUUUCGGUGCUCGUAUUGUCCGAGGAGCACUCCGGCGCGUGAGAGUUUUCAGGGACUGCACGGACGCACUUCCUUUUCCGGAUGACCACCUUUAUGAAAGAGAAAAUUCUGGAUACUGUGAUCCAGAACACACAAAAAUAAGGGUGUCGUUGGAAUUUUCAAUGCUGAAAGAUAACCAAUGGGCGGCACAGUGGUGUAGUGGUUAGCACUGUCGCCUCACAGCAAGAAGGUCCUGGGUUUGAAUCCGGGUCAGGGCAUUUCUUGUUUUAGGAACAUUAUGAACAGUGAACAUACCAGUUUAAACACAAAUAAAAGUUCAUUAAAGACACGUAACAGUAAAAGUUUUGGUGUGAAUCACAAUAUAAGGGGGGACAUGAGCUGCUUGGUGGAGGUCUGCGCUCUCCGAGUGCUUUUCUAGUAUUAACAAUGUUUCUGUCAAACACAAAGAUAUACAAUCUAAACCUAAAACUGACAAUGACCAGGGCAAAAUAGGUUAAAAUCCUUAAAAUUAGCCACACCAUUCAUGCAUUUUGGUGUUAUUGUACGAGUUGCUUUUACACCUAAUUCACUCUUUUAAUGCUGAUGCAUCUCCAGUUUUCUAGAAAUCUUGCAGCAGCACUUAAAUGAUAGGUUAUGCCAUUUUAUGUAAUAUAUGUACGACAAACUCACACCCAAGACAUAAACAGAGUUUAGGAAAAGCUUUUAUCCUUUUAUAAAGUGGUAAAUUCCCUCGUUUCAUGUUGUGGUUUUAAAUCUUCUUGCAGCGUUUUGUGAACAGAACGAUCCGACUGUGAUGAAUUUACGAGAAAAAGGAGUGUUGGACAUAAGCUUUAAGUGCGUGCGCACUGUACAGUGUGUGUGUGUGCAUGUGUGUCAAAAGAACUUUGACAAACAGCUCCCCUGUUUACCAUGGCGACGCCGCGGCCUGUGUUCUCCUGUCUCUACAGCAACCAAGGUCCUGGGCUCUCUGAUUGGCUGAGCUGUUGAACUCACAGUGAGAGACAAAAGAGAAGGACCCGGCUCUGCUAAUUUCUUAUCACCGAAUCCCAUUAGGCUCAGGGCUUUUUUUCAUUAACACACACAAAAGUAAAGUGGAAAUCACCGUAUUCAGCCGGCUCAGCCCCCACUGAGAGCCUGGCCAGACCCCCCACAAACAUCACCCUGCUGGGAUUAAUACCAGAGGAAGAAAGUGACAAAAUACAAGCCUCAUUACCACAAAAAUACUUAUACCUUUCUGACAAAAUACAUGGAACAAAUGAGACUUUAAUGGGUAGAAGUGAUAAACACCAUUUAAAUCAGUGAUACAUGUAGGUUUUUAAGAGUCAUGUUAUCAAAACAUAUCCAAAUACUGAGUUCACCAAUCGUAAUAUAUUAUAUGCUGUCAUAUGUACAUCCAAUUAUGAUCACCUUUGGCUUUGAGGAAAGAACAAAUAAAAGGUACCGUGAUUAAAUGUAGAUACAAAAUAAAACCAAAAGCCUCGUUUUGUUUGCCAAAUCAAGGCUUCCAAUUUAUACAGCAAUUACCUUGAAUAACAGACAUUCCUUGCUAACCUAGCUAGCAUCAGAGAAUAACUUGUUGCUGGCAAAGCCUUCCCUUUUCUCCAACCUCAUCCUUUCAGGAUUUCUAGCUCCAAAUUUAAAGAUGGUGACAGCCAAAGAAACAAAUAUAAGGAAUACAUGUUUUUUUCGCUUGUAUUUCUGAGUGUGGAAGGUGGAAUGUACAGGGUAAGUUUCCACUGAAAAAAGGGCUUCUGCUGUCCCAGGUGUCUCUUUAACAUCUCUCUGCAAACCCUUAUCUUCCUUCCCUCGAUCUCUUCUCUACCUAACAUGUCUUUCCAAAGCAGAGCAGGGGGAGGUAAAGCAUACAGCCAAGGAGGUUAUGUUUUCGGUAGCGUUGGUUUGUUUGUUUGUCUGUUAGCAACUUUUCGGGGAAAGUUACAGACAGAUUGACCUGAAAUUUCCCCCAAAAGUUCGUCUCAGCCCCAGGAGGAUCCCAUUACAUUUUGGUGGUGAUCCGAACAAAAUUCUGGAUACUGUGAUCCAGAACACACAAAAAUAAGGGUGUCGUUGGAAUUUUCAAUGCUGAAAGAUAACCAAUGGGCGGCACAGUGGUGUAGAUAGGCGGCACAGUGGUGUAGUGGUUAGCACUGUCGCCUCACAGCAAGAAGGUCCUGGGUUUGAAUCCGGGUCAGGGCAUUUCUUGUUUUAGGAACAUUUUGAACAAAUAAAAGUUAAUAAAAGACACGUAACAGUAAAAGUUUUGCUGUGAAUCACAAUAUAAGGGGGGACAUGAGCUGCUUGGCGGAGGUCUGCGCUCUCCGAGUGCUUUUCUGGUUAAGGAUACCCAUUAGCUGAAGCCAUAGCAAUCAACUAGUCUUCCUGGUUUCUUCAUAACACGAGCAAGUGCAAACCGUGUACAAAAUACAAUAUCACGAUAAAAAUUAUACAAUCAAUAUUCAAAAAGGUUAAAAACCAGAAACUCAAUCUGGCAAACAAAAUACAGUAAAAAACAUCCACAGAGAGAGAGACAGACAAAAAAAAAACCACAUACAUACAUAAACAAAGCAUAAACAAAAAACACAUCACAGAUUCAAAUAUUGUUUGAUGAAUUAUCAAGACCCAACCUAAGAUGGGAUUUGGCCCAUCUCAUCGAACAUGAGUCUAACACAGUAUGUGAAAAUUCAACCGUGAUACGAAAAAAUAAAUGCCGCAAUAUCGCAGGACGGAAAAACGUCACUGAUGUGAAUGCUUGUAUUGACAGGAUAGGGGUCCUGUGUGUAAGGACCUUAACCCAAAAGGUGUGAUUUUAGACAAACAGACUUCACGUCCUCGCUCUGCCUUUCCUGUCUUCUCUAGAACAUCUCUCUAAAGACACUUGACUGUUUCCUCUCUUUGCAUCAAGUGCGGGACGUGGGGGUAGCAGAGUGUACAACCUAACAUCACGGGGGUGAGGUGUAGCUUAUGCCGGUAAAACACUUUCUAUUGAACUCCACAUACAGAGAAUUUCACAGUAAUACAGAGUAAACUGAUGAAUACCUUCAGAGUCUUUUUGACACUUCGACCUGUUCAGUCUUUAUGUCAGCUCUACGCUCUCCAUCUUUCACCUGUCACCAUUCCUCUACUGCUCCUGACAGGAGGUGGUGGUUACACAUAUAUGCUCCUGUGUGUGUGUGUGUGUGUGUGUGUGUGUGUGUGUGAUAACGGCCUGUAUGAAGCCGGAUUGACAGACAAAGGCCUAAUCGCUCCUCGGCUCCGGCAGCCAAACAGCUCAGAGGAAGUAUUGACCCAAAAGCACCAUAAUCCCCUUCACCUAACGCGGGCAAUUUCAUGUAAUACCUGUAAUAACACGCGUUUAGCUCCAAGUAGUCGUCAAAAGAGCGCCGAGCAUCUGAUUUUAAGAGGUGAGCGCUUUGAAUAAAAGAGACCUGAAGAGUGUAUCAAUCUGUAAUAACAACAUCACGGCCCUGGACUGGCUUUUCUUUUCAAAAUCUCCUCGUCUCUCCCUCUUUGUGUCUAAAUGUGCAGCUCCGGUGACAUCCAGACUUGUUUUAAAGAAACAUAUGGAGGCUCAGAUGGUAAAGAAAAGCCAUGUCAAGCACAGGUUCUCAUUUUCCUUUAGUUCACAUGUGGAUAUCUGACAUUUGAAAUGCCUGAAGGUUGAGGUUAGAUACUGUUUGUGCCUCACUUGUCAGUUUUAUGCUCUCUGCUGUCAGUAGGGGUUUUGUACCAGUGUUGCGAAAAUCGUGGAAACAGCAGAGGCACGGAGGCUGGGAUUUCCUCAGAAGUUGACAGAAAGAAAGGAUCGUUAACACUCGAGAGUUUUUUAACCAAAGAUGAAGUAAAAUUUUGGGUAACGUGCACAAUUUACGCCGUCUUAUACUACCCUCAGACCAGGACUCUUCUACUACAGAGUCAUGCUGUUGUAAUCCCUGUUGUCAGAAUGUGGUUUGUCAUAGUCUCGCAGAAAAAGUCCCUGAAAAAGUCAUUGUCUGGAUCUCAACAGAUGUUGCUCCUAAAUCUGUAGAUAUGCAGCAUUUUUGUCCCAUUGCCAAAAUUUUCAAAAUAAGUUGCUGGAACUGAUUUUAGAAUGAGAAUAUAUGUUUCUGGGAACGCCCUAAAUUAACAGUUUUCUGGGGAAGUAUCCACAGAUCACUACGCUCAGUGUUUAAUACUCAAAUACCCCCUGAUUUCGCUACCUUGUUUCUAGGAAGGGUUGAAUGCCUGAGCCAGUUGAGAGAUACAAAACUAAUAUCUGAUGAUCCCGUGCCAGUCCUCCGCCCAAGCUGGGAGACUGGCACGGGAUAGUCUUGGAGAUCUUUAGAAUGGAAAAGCUCACAUACCAGAUAAGAAAACAGGAGGAUAAAUUUUAUCAAAUUUGGAACAAAUGGAUAACGCAUAUCGCCCCUCUAAGUGCAGAUUUCAUAUGAUCCCGCUGGCUCCCCUGCUCUAAUGUAGAGUGCUUUUACAGAAAAUCUGAGUUUCUCUUUUUUUUUUUUUUUUUUUUUUUCUUGUUACCCUCACUCAGCACAUUUGUAAAUAUUUUCGUUUGGUGGUUUCUUAUUUAAAUUUUUUUUUUAAAUGUAUUUAUUUAUUUUUAGUUUAUUUAUUUAUUUUUGGUGCUGUUUUUUUUUUUUAAUUUAUGUAUUUUUCAUUUAUUUAUUUAUUUUAGGUUCUGUUUUAUUUAUUUAUUUUUCAUUUAUUUAUUUAUUUAUUUUUGGUGCUGUUUUUUAUUUUUUUUUUAUUUUUUUAUUUUUUCAUUUAUUUUUUUUAUUUUAGGUUCUUGGUUGCACAGUGGAAGUCAGGAUGUUGAUCUUCCUCCCAAGAAUAUGCCCUCGACGGGGGAAAGGUUAAGGACACUGACUAUAAUGGACAUGGGGAAGGACGCAAUCUACCCAA
RNAcentral lists this long non-coding RNA (61302 nucleotides) under Xyrichtys novacula (pearly razorfish). The record is from RNAcentral. Lineage: Eukaryota; Metazoa; Chordata; Actinopteri; Labriformes; Labridae.